Molecule: long non-coding RNA, 48731 nt
Filed under: Gossypium barbadense (sea-island cotton)
Lineage: Eukaryota; Viridiplantae; Streptophyta; Magnoliopsida; Malvales; Malvaceae
Description: long non-coding RNA (GBAR_LNC013684)
Source: RNAcentral
AAAUGCUUCAUCUAGGUUUGAAAAUAUUAGAAUGUUAGAUGAUAAAACCUUUUUUGAAUUUUAUGAAAAAUUAUGUGACAUCACUAAUGAAGCCUGUGCUCUUGGCGAGUAAUAUUUUGAGGUCAUGUUGGAUCGAACAGUACUGAGAUCCCUACCAAAGCUCUUAAUUAUCAAACUCACAUCCAUAGAAGAUGCCAAAUACAUCAAUACAAUAAGGGUGGGUGAGUUAAAUAACUCAUUACAAGCCUUUGCAAUGAAUAUGAAAGAAAGUAAAAAGGAAAAAGUCAAUGAUUAAAAAAUGUUGCAUUCAUUAUUAAAAACAUUAUUGCGACACAAUUUCCAAUAUUUGCUUCAAUAGAACAACUAGUGUUUCUUACAGAAAAAAUUCAACAAAAAUUUUAUGAAGUUCUUUAAGAAGAACAUGAAUAUAAAUGAUGGUUAAUCUACUAGAAAGAGCAAAGAAAGUUUACUGUUACAAAAGAUGAGCCUGGAGAAAAAGAAAGAAAUCUAGUGCAAUAAAUGUAAAGAAUUUGGUCACAUUAAAAAAAAGUUCAAACACUCUCAAGAGAAAGAAAAAGUCAUUUAAUGUUACUUGGAGUGACUAGGUUAUUAAGAGUGAAGAAGGAGAAGAUGAAGAACUUGUAAGUAACAACGUUGCCUUUACAGUUAGACCAAAAGCUAUUACUUUCAACUUUGUAACAUUCUUAAAGAUAAAAUAAGAAGAAUGCAGUGAUAGUGAGAAUGAUGAUGCUAAUGUAUAAUUGCAUGAAACUUACAAAGACAAAUAAGAAAACUACGAUAUUGUGUACAAAAUUAAUGAAUCAUUGAGAGAUGAAAAUACUAAUUUGAAAAAAGAAAACCAAAGAUUAAAAGUAGUGGAAGAUAAAAAUAUUCUCUUAGUUGAUCGAGAAGAAAACUUGAAGGACAUAAAGAGUUAAUGGUUGUCUAAAUCAUUGUAAAGAAUAUUAGAUCUAGAAAUGAGAAAUUUGAUGAAAUUCUUACAAUAAGGAGAUCUGAACUAGGUCACAAAUGACUUAAUAUAUAAGAGAGUCAUUAAUCUCUACCAUUGUUUUUGUGAAUACAACUACUUAUAUAAUAAGAGAAGAUUUUACACCAUUGAAAAAUCUCACAUGAAAAAAAGAGAUUCUAAUAGUUCUUAACUACCUAAAUUUUCAUCUCAACUAAGAAUCACUAAAAUAGUGGAUUUGGGCAAUCAACAUGUAACAUGAGGUAAACAUGUUUUUAUUUUGAAAAAUUUUAUGUUUUCACGAUCAUCUAAGCUUAAUUCAUCAUACACAUGAUUUACAUUCUUCAAUUAUCAAGUGUUUAUCAUGUUACCAUUAGAAGGGUUUGGUGAGUUUAAGUUUGACUAUGAUGAAAUUGUGAAUGAGGAACUUAGAUCAAGUUAAGACUAAGUUAGAAAGUAGUGAAAAGUAUUAGAUUUAACUAGAAAUUAAGCUAAGAUAUAUAGUAGAUUUAUGACAUUAGGGACUAAAUUGAAUAAAUUAAAAAAAUUUAAGAAAUUAUGCUAUUGUUAAAAGUACACGGUCCCUAAUGAAAGAAUAUGAAAUUAGAUUUUGAUUCAAUGCUAAAUAUAAAAAAUAGGGGCAUUUUGGAUAUAGGAAUUAAAAUGAAUAAAAUGCAAAAUAUGUUAGCUUAUGUGUUUUUCAUGUGAUUGGGUGGAAAUGAAUACCAUCCUAUAAUUGCAUUAUCGUACAUAGCUGUAGAAGAUGUCAGCCCAUCUUGAGAUAAAGAAAAGGCAAAGGUUGUAGACUAGUAGCUAUCCUGGUUUGUGCUUUCAUGAUUUAAAUUCUAAUUAUGUAUUUUGAUUGUUGCAAUUAGCUAUGCUUAAGGUAAUUACCUUACUUGUCUCAUGAAUAGGUAAGUAUGAAUUAGAUUGUAAGUUGUGGAUAUAUGAUGAUAUGUGAACCGUAUAUACAUUUGAAACAUUGGAUACCCUAUUAACGAUCACGAGCAGUCAGUAUAGUUGGCAUGCCAUAAGAUUUGUGUACGAGAUUUUACUUCAGUUUAUACUAAUGGGGAACGGAGUGCACAUUAUAGUUCAAAUGUUUCAAUGAGGUGCUAGGCACAUUUAUAUACUUCAGGCACUAGGUGCCAGAUAUAUUGGUGUGAUGAUUAGAUGAUUCAUGCAUUUAUCUUGAGUCUGUGUCUGGUUAAUAGGGAUUAUGAAAACAUGUAUUUUUCUAUUGACAUUGGAUAUUGAAAUUGUAUAAUUGUAUCUUGAUUUUUAAGCAAUAAAUGAUGGCAUGUGAAAGGUCAUAUGAAUUGGGUAUUACAAGCCCCGAGGGUUAAUUCGGUUGCGUAACGAAUCAAUAGAUUUGAGAAUGGAAAGAAAAGGUGCAAUGACCCUUGUGAUAUGCUACAUGGUUCAUUUAAUUGAGAUGUAUGAUAUAAGAACUAAAUAUUGAUAAGUGGCAUGUUGAAUAGCACAAAUUUUGAUGUAUGUCAUGUGACUUUUAAUUCAAUUAUGACUUAGAUAGUAUUUGACUAUCAUAUUAUGUGUAUUUUCUACCUUGCUUUUAGUUAAUUAUUGAUUUAAAUCAUGUUAGCACCACUAAGCAUUAUUUCUCAAUGUACAGUCUUUUUAUUUCCAUGCGUCAGUAAUGUAGAUCUUGAAGUCUUAAGGUGAUUGGUAGCAUCCAGAACUAAACUCUCAACUCAGCAAAGUUUGUAUAGAUUUUGUUAUGUUUAUAGAAAAUGGCAUGUACCUAAGGUCUUGAGUUGGUUUUGAUUGAAAAAAUCCAGUUCAGAAAUGAUUUUCUUGCAUAGCGGAAAAUUAAAAUUUUGAAAAUGACUCGGUUUGUGAUAUUUAUAGUAAUAAAUUAUAAACCAAAUUUGUACCUGUGUUUUCAGAAGGUAGAUCUUUGUCAUUUUCGGCUUUUAACCAAACAAUAUUCUCUACUAUUCUCAUACCACAAACUGCUUCGAGUGUGGGCUCGAACAAAACGAAUCAAACACAGAACUAUAAAUAUUUUCUUUACUUUCAGUGGGAAAGUAUACACUCUUAAAUAGAAAUCGGUAGAAUUGCAAUUAUUAGGAAAUAUAAUUUAUUCUUAAAAUAAAUUUCCACUACCUUCUGCCAGAAUAGAAAUAUUGAAAAUUUCAGAGAAACUUGUGUUUUUCUUUUUCUGUUGGUGUGAAUUUAAGCGUACCAGUGCCAUCUAUUUAUAGUGAGAGUUGGUAAAAUCUUGGUUGAAGUGAUAGAGUACAAAUAAUAUUAUUUUGAUAUAAAAAUUCUCCAACUCCCUAUUAUUUAGGGAGAGGGGCAGCAACCCUAGAUAGGAAUACUAGAUUUUUUGUCCCAUGUAUUCCAUAUAACGGAAGUUGGGCCUUUCCUGUACUGGUUCUAAUUAUAAAUGCUUCUUGGACUUUAACUUAACACUUUGUAGUUUAUUCCAAUCUAGUACAUGUUUUUUUUAUUUUCCAAAGUAAAUAUUAUUUGCUCAAUUAAUUUAAAUAAAUAAAUUUCUCAACCUAAUUAUAAUUCCGUUAAAAUCAUGUCAAUUUUACCAUCAAAUAAUCUAUGAGAAAAUAUAUUUAGUUUUCUACAUUUAAUUGGAUUCACAGUGACCAAUUAAUUUAAAUUCAUUUUUGAACUUCAAUUAAUUAAUUAAUUAAUAAUUCAAAAAACAAUAAGUUAAUUUUCGGGUCCUUUUCAUACUUGUGAGAAAAACACAUUUAUUUCCAAAUGAAACCCAUUUCUCUAACUUUAUCAUUUAUAUCCAUUUCUAUUUAUUUGAUUUAUUAUGAAAUUCAUUUAUGGUUUCAACGAGCUAGCAGAGAGACCGAUUGAAUAUAUGAAAUUGAGGCUCAAAUGAUUUAUAAUUAAAUUCCAACUUUUCACCCAUUAAUUAUAAACUCAUUUAGUCACGAAGUCAUUCCACUAUAGUAUCGUUACUAAGCUCUCCCCAACAACAUACCAUUAAGAAACUAACUUGAUCUGUGCUCAUCCAAUGACCUUGUCAUAAGUGUGUUACCUUCAUAUGAUAUCCUUAAUCUCUUUAGGAUAAUAUUCGUUCUCCCAAUAUGAUUUUAUUUUAUCUCAUGAUAACCAUUACAUUUUCCUUCAUGAAAAGUCAAUUCCUAUCAAAUAGUAAUCAAGUCAUUCAUCACAAAGACAAAUGACACUUGGCCACGUUUACUUUUCAUCAAACAUGUAAUGCCAAUGAGAGGAUAUCAUUUACGCAUGUCUCGAGUUAUGAAUUCCAUUGUUGUGUAUGACGCUAUAUACUGCAGAAGUCGUACACCUAACACACCAGCUUUCGGUUCCUUAUAUAUUUGAACUCAUGAUUUUACUUACAUAAAAGUGUAUGAGUCAUACAUACAUACUCCGUCAUCCACUCAAGAUUUGGGUAUGCCACACUAUGAAAGUCACAAGUGAAUAAAUCCAUAAAUGGAUUCAAGAUCUAUUUUUCUUGGGUCCAGUCUGAUGUACUAUUAGUCCAGCUUGUCGCAUCUAUAUCUUUAUCUUUUGGGAUUCAUCUACUCCGAUGCCCAAGACAAAGUAUCUCCCCAAUUGGACUUGAUAGAUGACAUAUUAGUCUUUCAAUUUAUUUGCUCAUUUCAGAUUAGACUAAGAACAUGUUUAGGUUCGUUUACUAAUAUAAUAUAUAUUUUUGUAUUACGAUCCAACCACGUAAUACCGCUUAAUAUCAGUUAAACAUUAAAGAACCAAUUAGAAACAUUUGCUUCCAUUUUUCUUUUCUUGCAAAACCCAUAUGAGGACAACUGUACAAAAUAUAUAAAUGAAUUUGUUCGUAGUCUAAAUGAAUUACAAUUGUAAAACAUUCAAAAUGGACCUAAAAACCUAUUCAAAACAUGUAAACUACAAGUUUAAAACAUGUUAAAAAAUUUUAGAAUUUUUCAAAAAAUAUAAAUGAAUUUGUUUUAGUAACUAAUCUGUUUUAUAGGAGUGGAGAGCUUAUUAUUGGAUUUGGUACCCUGAGUGUAGUAUUUUCAUCUAAGUAUACUUGUAAAUUUUUUGAACAGAUUGGUUAAUAAAAUUAUUCAUGAAUUACAUUAAUAAUUUAUAUAUAAUCCUCACAUGGUUUUUGCACACAAAGCAAAAUGGAAGCAAAUGUUGCUCAUUGGUUGUCUAAUGUUUAACUAAUAGUAAGCUGUAUUACAUUAUCAGAUUGUAGUACAGAAAGACAACUUGUAUUAGUAGAUGAAACUAAAUAUGUAUUUAGUCUAAUCAGAAAUGAGCAAACCGAUUGAAAUAUUAAUAUGUCGUCUAUUAAGUCCAAUUGAGGAGAUGCCUUGUCUUAGGCAUCGGAGCGGAUGGCUCUAAAAAAAUAGAGACAUAGAUGUGACUAAUUGGACUGAUAGUACAUCAUACAUGAUCCAAACAGAAUAGAUCCUGAAUCCUUUUAUAGUUUUAUUAACUUGUAAUGUUCAUAGUGUGACAUACCUAAAUCCCGAGUGGAUGGAGAACUAUGUACGCGUGACUCGUACACUUUGAUUUACGAAAAGACAUGAGUUCAAAUAGAUAAUGAAUCGAAAGCUGGUGUAUUGGGUGUACGACUUCUAUAGUAUGUAGCACCAUUCACAAAAUUGGAAUUCAUAGCCCAAAACAUGUGUAAAUGAUAUCAUUUCAUUGGCAUUACAUGGUUGAAGAAAAGUAAAAAUGGCUACGGGUCAUUCGUCUUUGUGAUGGUUACCAUGAGAUAAAAUAAGUUCAUAUUGGGAGAACAGAUAUUAUCCCAAAGAGAUCAAGGAUAUCCUAUGAGGGUAACACACUUAUGACAAGGUCAUUCGACGAGCAUUGAGUAGUUGCUUUCUUAAUGGUAUGUUGUUGAGGAGAGCUAAGUCACGAUACUAUAGUGGAAUGACUCUGUGACUAAAUGAGUUUAUAAUUAAUAGGAGAAAAGCCAAAACUUAAUUAUAACUGAUUUGAGCCUCAACUACAUAUGUCCAAUCGGUCCCUCCAUUAGCUAGUUGAAACUAAAAAUGAAUUGCGUAUUUGAAUAGAAAUGAAAUGAAUGAAUAGAGAAAGAGAAAUGUAAAAAUUUUAGGAAUGAUUAUGGAUUCUCCAAAAUGGAGAAAUGAAAUCAUUUGGAAAUGAAUGUAGGUUUCUUGUAAUAGCCCGAUUUAGGGCCUAAAUGGAAUUGUGGUUUUGAAACCAUAAAUUUGAAGUAUAAAAAUUUAUUGAUAUUAAGUUUUAAUAUUUACUGUAUGAUUGAAUGACUAUGUGAAAUUUUCGCUAUGAAAUUCUAUCAAUUGGGUGUCCAAUUUGAUGAUUAGGACUAAAUUACAAUAGGUGAAAAAUGUGUGUUCUAGUUUAGAAAGGUAAUUGUUUGUAAUGGGUUUCUAAAGUGGAGGUCCUUAGAUAGUAAUUAGACCAUUAUACUUUAGUUUGGAUAAAAUAUCCAAGGAAGGAUAAAAUACCAUAGUUUUUAAUGAAGGGCAUUUUGGUCAUUGGGUAAUUAAAUGAAUUAAAAAGGGCAAAUAAAGCCAAAAUUUGCUCAUUUUUCUUCAACCAUAACCGAAAUUUUCAAGCUCUCCAUAGCUAGGGUUUUGGCCACUUUCAAGCUUGAUUGUAAGUACAUCCUGUCCUCGUUUUUAAUGUUCUUUACAUUUUUGAGAUACUCGUAACUCGAUUUAGCUAUUUCUACCAUUAUUUUGAAUUAGGGUUUGUGUUUAAAAAUUUACCCAUGGAUGACAUGCAUGUGUUUUGAUGUUUUGUGGAAUAAUAUGAAAGUUUGGGGUGUGAUAAACAACUUUUACUAAGUGAUUUUUGAUGAAAUUGCAUAAAAGAACCUAUUUGUAAAAGUUGGUAAAUUAUGUGUAGGAAAAUGUGGUUUAGUGAAAAAUAUGGGUUGCUAUAAGAGGGAAUAUGAAUCAGCUAGGCUUAGGAUUUGAGAAAAAUAAGUGCUUUUCAUUUUUCGAGCCUAGGGGCAAAAUUGUAAAUAUGUGAAACUUUAAGGGCAAAAAUGUAAUUUUGCCAUAGUGUGAUUUUUGGAGUAGAAUGAAUAAUGUGAGUAUUAAAUGAGUUAAAUGACCUUGAUCGGGGAAAAGAAAAGGUUGUGGACUAAAUUUCAAAUUCGUCAUAUCUUGCACUGAGGGAAGUUUGUAUGUAAAUAAUAUAUCAUUUUUAAUUAUGUUAUAAUAUUUUGUUAUAUUACAUGAGAUGUGGUUGUAUAUUGAAUGAUUAUUUGAUAUAAAUUAUGAAUUGAGAUUGACUAUGGAUGAAAUUGACAAAGUGAGAAUAAGUGAGAAAUUUCCCGGUUGAACUUUCGGAAUAGAAAAUAAUAGGAAGGACGUCAUGAGAACUCAUGUGUAGUACUAUGUGUAGGCUACUAUGAGUAUAAGAUAGUUAUGGUCACAUGUGUAGUACUAAGUGCAUGCUACUAUGUGUACCGGAUAGCUUUGGUCACAUGUGUAGUACUAUGUGCAGGCUACUACAUGUACCAGAUGGUAUUGGUCACAUGUGUAGUACUAAGUGUAGGCUACUAUGUGUACCGGAUAACAUUGAUCAUAAGGGUGGUCUAUGUGCGAAACCACCGUGUAUCUGUUAUUAUUUCGAAGUGUUCAUUGGGAAAAUCGACUAAGUGAAAUUAUGUGUGACUAUGUGGUGAUAAGUGCAGGUAUAUGUAUGUGUAUACUCAUGAGCAAUGUGUUUGGUAUGUGAUUGAAAUGUGGUAAAGUUGCAAAGGAGUAAGUGAAGUGAUAAAGUCUUGUAUCAUGCAUGCAAGUUGAAUUAUGUUAUUGAAUGUUGAGCAUAUUGUUAUGAUGUUUCAUGAAAGAGUGAAAUUUGAAAUAAAAUAGUUUUGAACAACAACAGUUGUGUGAUUUUGAAAAAUCACUAAAAAAGGUUUAAAUUGAAUUAGAAGUUGAAUAAGAUAUGAAAUUAAAUAUUAUUGAGUCUAUUUUCAUAUAAAAGAAACAAUGUAAGCAAAAGAAUUUCAUAUUAUGAGAUAUUUGAAUUUUAGUGAGACAGGGUCAGAAUGAUUUCGGAACCCCCUAUCUUACCUUUGGAAAAUUAUUAAAAAUUGUAAAAAAAUAAUUAUGAGUUAUAAUUUAUAUGUUUAAAAUUUGGAAUGAGUCUAUUUUCAAGUUAAAAAACAAGAACAUCAUUUGAAUUCUUUACGGGAAGAUAAUUAGUUUUUAGUGUAGAAAGGUCGAAACUGUCAGACAGCAGAACAUGGGAGGCUUUAAAGAAUAAACUGUACUUAUUGGCUAAACCAAAAAUUCUAAAAAUUUUAUGCUAAGAAGAUAUGUGAUUCUAGUUUUAGGGAAAAUUUGAAGAACUAAAUUUAGAGUUCUGUAACUCAAGAUAUAAAUAAUUUAGUGACUAUGAUGCGAGUAAAUAGCUAGAUACGAACUUGAGUAAAUAUUGGAACUAUGUGCUUUUAUGAUUGUAUUAUUUUGAGAACAUAUUGUGAAGAUUCAUAAAAGCAUAUUAAUAAAUUUUUUGUUAUUUAUAUAUUAACUUACUAAGCUAUAUGCUUUCCCCCUUUCUUUUCCUUGUUUUAUAUUGUCACUAAGCUAGCUCGGGGUACGGAGAUUGUCGGAGAUCCAUCCACACUAUCAACACUCUUUUGGUAUUUUGAAAUCAAUAUUUUGAAUUAUGGCAUGUAUAGAAGGCUUGGUUAUUUUGUUAUGUGUCAUAAAUGAUUUGGCCUAAAAUGUUUGUCUAUGCUAUUUGAUAAUUUAUUUUGUAUAAAGCCAUUGAUGUUGGCUAAUAUUGAUCAAGUUAUAUGUUCAUGAUGAUGCAUUUCAUGGAUGUGCAAGCUUGCAUGACUUGACCGAAAAGUUUUAAUUUAAAAGUAUAUAUAUAUAAGUCUUGGUUUUGUACGAUUGCAUGUGUUUAUGUUCUGGUAAUGCCUCGUACCCUGCUCCAGCGUCGAACACAGGUAAGGGGUGUUACAUUUCCAAAAAUAGAAAUGGAAAUGAAAAUGAAAAUGAAAAUGAAAAUGAAAAUUUGCAAUCUUGUAUAGGAUUAGUUAAAAAAAUGAUGGAUGGAUGAGUUAAUGUUUUUGAACUAUUUUGAAGCCCAAAAAUCAAAAUAAACCAUUCGAUCAUAAUUUUCUCAAAAUUUUACUGGGGGUAAAAUCAUCAAAAUUUUAUCAAGGGUAAAAUUAUAAAAAAAUGUACUAAGGUAAAAUUGGGAUGAUAAAAUGAUUUAAUAUGUAGAUAUUAAAGUUUAUUGUGGGAAAUAGAAAAACUAAAUUAGGUUGGAUCACAUAAUAGAGUACUUGGUCAAAAUUGCCCAAGAAGUACUCGUAAAUGGACCCGAUGUGAGAGAGACUCAAAACCCUCAUAUAACAAGAAGGGGGUGACAACCCUAGUAGAAACACAAGGGUGAGUCGUUCACCCCUCUCAUACUCUAAGUAAGAUGUUUUUUUUCUAUUCAAAAUAAACCUCUCCAACUCUUUAAGGGUUCUACUUUCUCUUUCUAUAAAUAGAUGACAGCAGUAGAGAUAUUAACACAACUUGUGGAGAUUUUUAUUCUGUCAAAAAAUAGAGAGAAUUUAUUUCAAAACUGAUAAACAUAUUUUUUAGAAUAACAAUUUUACCGAUUUCUUUAUAAGAAGAGAGAAAUUUUGUUUUAACCCAAAAAAAACUUUUUCUAGUUUUGUGUUUUGCUUCAAUUGGUUCGAGCCCACAUUCGAAGCAGUUCAUGGUAUGAGAAUAGCGAAGACUAUCAUUUAGUUGAGAGUCAAAAAACAUUAAGGAUUCGCUUAUCAAAAAACACAGGUGCGUAUUUGGUUAAGGUUUAUUGUUAUAAAUAUCACAAAUUGAGUUAGUUUUCAAAAUUUUAAAUUUUUCGCCAUGGAAGAAAGUUGUUUUCAAACUAGGUUUUUUUUCCAAAAAUUGGUAUUAGAUCUAGGUUGUGAUAUGUUUAUGGUGUAAACCAAGAUAAAAUCUCUCUCUUCAUCUUGUUUGAUUAAUAGUUGAUAGGAUGUGGUAUUCUUGUAAUUAUUCACAUGUUUAGGGGAAUGCAUGUGAAUGAAUUCAUUAUUAUAUAUUUUUGUUAUAUAAUUAUUAUUUUUGCCAAUGUUGUAGUUCUUAGAAAAUAGACCGUGGGCUAUAAUCUCCACGUAGAGUUAUUUUUUAUUUAUAGAAUUCUUGUGAGCCGAAAACGGACAUAGGACAUAUAUGUAAAUUUUCCAAAAAGGAGUCCAUGACGAGGAAAAGAUGGAACGAUGGCGAUCAAAGACAUAAGGAAUGCCUUGUGAUGAAAAAUUAUGUAAUUUUUUUCAUUUAAUUUCUAGAAAUAGAACCAUGGAAACCUUCACUGACAAUUUUAUUUUAUUACGCAUCUCUUUAUAUAUCUGUUUAAUAAUUAUUUAUGAUAUAAUUGUGAUAUAUAUGUAUGAGAUGAUCCACUAUUGAUCUAUUAAAGAUAAGAAGUGUGAUAAUGAGAAAAUACAUGUGUUAUUCUGUUCACUACUUUAGGUUAUUCGAUUACUACGAGAAGUGUGGAAAUGGAAAGGUGCAUGUUUAGGAUUGGAUUUGGCAAGGAAAGACUUGAUUUUUAAGUGGUCAAAUAUGACUUACCUCCCUUUCUUGGGAUCCUACCUGGUGCAUGAGUCACAUUCACUUCUUCAGUUUUUCCCUAAAAGAAAAAUUGUGGAGAAUCAAAAUUGUUUGAUUGACUCUUGUGAAUGAAUGAAUGUGAAUAUUAUAAAAUUUCCAUAGCAUGUCAUGUAUACAUGAGAUAAGAAUGCCAUAUAGUUUAGGAAAGAAUGCCACAUGUACUUGUCAUGCAUAUAUUGAUAAUACAUGAUUGAAAUCAAAAAUUAAAAACCUUGCAUGUUUUUGAAAUAUUGAGUGGGAGAACGUCCCUAAACAAUACCUGUGGCAUCCAUCAAUGGUCUCUUGUGAUGGCAUGAAAUGGACCUACCCCAAGGUAGACGUUGUCAUGUAGAUUUAACUAAGGAGACUACCUAAAAGUAAGCAAAAAUUUCUUAUUAUAAUAUAAUAGUUGGACCAACCCUUGUGGUAAGUAUUAUCAUGCGAUACAUUAAGAAAUUCUAUCUUCAAAAGAUGAAAACUAGUCAAAGCAUGCUACUUGAUGAAAUUGUCCCACGAUGACUCAUUUGUGGUGCAAUAUGCGAUACGUGUUGAGUUGAUGGUUGUACACUAAAGAAUUUAUAGUUAAGUAACUCCCCGCGGAGCUUUACUUUAGUUAGAAUGAUGGCCAAACGUUACACGAUUAUUAGUACAUGUGAAUGCCUAAGGAAUUAGGUUCAUGUACUAAUUGGAUGGAAAUCCAUAUUCUUACUAGUUGAUCAUGAUCACUCUACGGUAGCUUUAUUCAAUGGAUGUGGGAAUUAUCAUUGCAAUGACUUACAAAUGUUUUUAAGGUUUAAUGUAAGAUGCAUGCAUCAUUUAAAUUAGGGGUGAGUAUUCGAUCGAGUUGAGUUGAAUCGAGUCAAAAAAAAUUGAGUUGGUAGAGUUGACGAAUCCUAUUUUAGCAACUGAACUCAAUAUAAAUUUUUUCGAAUAGAAUUAAGUCAAAAAAUUUCGAGUCAAGUCGAGUCGAGUUAGUGAAUCCUAUUAUUUAUACUCAAUGUUGCAUUUACAUGGACCGAUUAUUUAACUAGUAGACGAUGUACAAAAUUAUUUAACUACAUAAACAAUAUAAUGGUUUUGCCUUUUUAACUUAAUGGGUUUUUAACUUUUAAAAAAGUAAACAUUUAUCAAAAUAAUGUAGUUUUGCCUUUUCUUAUUCGGAUUUUUGGAAAACUCGAAUUGUGUAAUUCAUAUUCGAGUUAAAUAAAAAAACUUAAUUUUUUAUUCUAGUUGAUCCAAAUAACUUGGUUAACUCAAAUAACUCGAACUAUUUAAUUCAAAAUUUGUAUUUUUUAUCGAGUUUUUUGAAUCGAAUCAGAUUUUGCUCACCCCUAAUCUUAAUGCUUAUCGUAAUGUUGCAAAAUGUUUUGAGACAUUUGCUUAAUACGAAGAUAUUUAUAUAUGAAUGUUUUAGUUUCAAUUUAAAAAUGGCACCAACUCCCUUAUUAAACAUACUCACUGUAAACAAAUUGAACGAAAGUAACUACAAGGAAUGGAAAAGGAACCUAAUAAUUGUCCUGAGCUAUGAGAAACUUAGAACUGUUCUUGAUAAUAAGUGCCCACAGGCCACUCAAGCUGAGGUUAUAAAACGCUAGGCAAAGUCUGGUUAGAUAGCUCGUUGCUACUUGCUAUCAGGGGUGAUGAGUACUUUGUAUAAGUAACUAGAGAGCUGUAAAACUGUUAAAGUGAUUCUAGAUAAGCUAGAAGACAUAGUCAGAGGCCAAGUUGCCUUGGCUCAAUAGUUUGCCAUAACUAACUUGAUGAAUGCCAUGAAAAAGUCUGACACUCCGAUCAAAGACCAUAUGAUCACUGUUAUGGGCUACUUUGACGAGGCUGUGGAAAAUGAGACAAAUUUUGACCAAAACACUCACAUUGAAAUGGUCAAUGUAACACCUCUAACCUGUAUCUGUCGCCGAAAUAGGGUUAUGGAGCAUUAUCGAACAAUCAAAACUAUAAAUCAUUCAAUUCAUACAUCAACACAAACAUAACUUAAUUUCAUUCAAAUACAUUCAUAGUGUCCCUUAAUCGAGCCUUCGAGGCCCAAAGAAUACAAUAGAAACAAUUUAGGACUAAAUUAGAAACAUUUGGAAAGUUUAGGAAAAAUUUUAAAAAAAUUGGUCUGCAGGGGUCACAUGCCUGUGUCUCAGGUCGUGUAGCAAUCAAAAUAAGGACACACGGUCGUGUCCCAGCCCGUGUAACUCUCUGACUUGGGUCAUAUGGUCAAGCCACACUCCUAUGUGCUAGGUCGUGUAACCCUCGAAAUGGCCUCACAUGCCUGUGUGCAAGGCCAUGUGCUAAGCCAUGUAUCUUUCAAAAAGUAACCUUUAAACCUGCAAGGGACACACGGUUGAGACACACACCCGUGUCUCACGCUGUGUAGACCUAAAAUGAGCCUUAAACAACCAGGUUACCAUUUCAAGCUUACUUGGGACCUAAGCAAACCAUUUUCCAAACAAAACACCAAUUCAAAGUGCCUUUAAUCAAGCUAAAAACAUGCCAAAUGAACCUAUUAAGUACCUAACCAAUGUACUCUUAUUGGUACCACAAGUACAUACAAAUUUAUAUCAAAAGAAAACAUCAAUUCAACCUAUCAAUUUAUUCAAACUAACACCUAUCAAUACCAUUUCAAACAUACCAUAUCUUAACCAUAUAAUAACCAAUUCAUCACAUACUCUUUUGGCCACUCCAACAAAUAUCACAUAUCUAUAUUAACACAUUCUAAUAUGGCACCAAAAGUACCAAAAGGAGAUCAACCAAAACAAUUUAUACUACAAAGUUCAUACUUAACUAUUUACAUAUCCACAAUGUUAAUAUCAACAUUCAAACCUAUUACAUGUAAUAUAAUCUGAAAUAAAUGUUCCAAAAACUACCGAAUUAAGUUGGAUAGUGUGACUUGAGUGCGGAUCCGAUUGUCCAACCUUCCAAGUAUUUACAAAAUCAAAAAUUAAAACUAGUAAGCUUAAUGAUACUUAGUAAGUUCGACGUAUUAAAACGAUAAAUCUUACCAAAGUAAAUAUAACAAUUCAAACAUUAAAAAUACAACCACGAAGAUUCCUUGUCAUCCACAAUCUCACCUAAUAAAUCACAUACUAUCAAUUUAAUAUUUAAUUGUAUAGUAAAUCCAUCAAAAUUUUUAAACCAAAUACCUUAACGAGGUUUUCAAUUCAGAGAAUGAAUUAUAGAUUGGAGUACAUUGUCAAUCCAAAACACACUAGAAGCUCACACGAGCCAAUCCCUCCAAAACACGCCAUAUGCUCACACGAGCCAAUCCUUCCAAACAUGCCAGAUGCUCAUAAGAGCUAAUCCAUCCGAAACACACCAAAUAGAAAGUAUAGCACGAGAGUUCGUAACAAAUUUUGAACCUUGGUUUACUUGGGUAAUAUGAAUAUACAUCACUCCAUAACCAUCUCAACUCCAAUCCCCCGUAACACACCAAAUCACGAUUGUACUCUAUCUUGCGUUCAAUUCAAUCUGAACAUCAAAUUCGAUAACAUAUCUCAAACGAUCGUUCAUCGUCAAAAAUGGAAUAUAUAUUGUAUCAUGAUAUAACAUUAAAAAAUUCAUAUAAAUGUUAAAUUUUAGACCGUACAAACUUACCUGGAUUGAAUUGUAGUAGUUGCAAAAGUUCAGGGACUAUUCCACAAAAUUUGCCUUUCCACGAGUAUCUACGGGAUCUUGAUCUAAAAUGUAAAAUUCCUCAAUUAUUAGCAUAUAUUUCACAUUCCAAUCCAUUUAAAAUUAGUACCUUUUUAUUUUUUAAAUUUACACAAUUAUCCCAAACUUUUACAAUUUUUGUAAUUUAGUCGUUUCAACCUAAAUUGAUCAAAUUAAUCAUUUUUUCUCAAAUAAAAAUUCUAUAUAAAUAUAAUAGGACCUUCAAGAGUCCCUAAUUAACAUUAAAUUCACAAUCAAACAAUUGAAUUUUGACAUUUUCACAAUUUAACCCUAAAAUCAAAAUUUUACAAAAAUCACUUUAUAAAAUCAUCAAACAACACAAUCAAAGCUUCAAACACAUGGUAGUCAUAAAAAAAUUCAAUAUUCAUCAAUGGAAACAUCCAAAUUUUUUAACAGAAUAAAAAACGAAGAUAUGGGCUAGCUGGAUCUAGUUGCAACGAUCGCAAAAAUAUAAAAAUUACAAGAAACAAGAUUAAAAUGAACUUACAUGCAAGGUUCCUAUGCUAGCAAAAUAUGAAGCUUUCAAAAAUGGUGAAAUUCCUUAGGUUUUCAGCAAGAACAUGAAAAAGAUGAUGAUUUUGGCUUUUGUUUAAUUAAAAUUUAAUUUAUUUACCAAAUUACAUAAUUACACUUAAUUAAAGCCUUAUAAAACUACCAUUUAAAAACCUAUUAUGGUACAUUAAUAUUCAAUUGGACUAAUUAUUAUUUAAGUCCCUUUUUAUUCCAAAAUUAAGCUAUCAAAUCAAUGGAAUUCAAGAUUUACUCAAUUUUGUACCUUUUUCAAUUUAGUCCUUUUUUUUUCUCAAUUAACUAUCUAAACGUUAAUAUUUCUAAACCAAAUUUUAAUAGAACUCUAAUGAAUUUUUAAGUAUUCUAAAAAUAAUAUUUACAAGUUGAUAUAACUGAAAUUUGUGGUCUCGAAACUACUAUUUCGUCACCACUUAAAAUCGGGUUGUUAUAGUGUUCAAAAGUUGGUCAAAGGAUUUUACUGGUUUUUGGGCCGCAUAUAACCUUGGCAACAAAAACCUAUGAGUUGAUGUUGAACAGAGGUCAACCGAUCCAAAGAGCAGAAGCGAAUAUAGCUAUCGCUUCUUCCUUAAAAGGGAAGGGAAAACAUGUUAAGAAAGGCAAGGCUAAGGUCUCUAGGUGACCGCCUCCGAACGUACUAACAUCCAAAGUGUGAAUACUAUAGUAAAAGAUAUGUAUAUGAGGUGGUAUUUGCAAGUAUAUUGGUCCAGUUAUAAUAUAGUUACAACUAAGUAGGUGAGUGCUCCAAGGAUCGUACCCAAGGGAGGCUAGUGCUAGAUCAAUUUUAACCUAAACACAGAAAUAUCUAAUUAGUACUCUAAAUCAGUUAUAGUACGAAAACAUAUAUGAAAGGGAUUUUUAAAUUUUUUAUAAUAAUAAAACAACAACGAAAUAAAUAACAAGAAAGUCAAAAAUAGGAUUAAUCGAAUUUGAAUAUGGGUGAUUAAGUCGCUUCGGUAAUCCUUAUUGAAUAUCGCUUUGGAUUUCUCAUUAAUUAACUAGUCACUACCUAGUAGGAUUUCCAAUUUUCCACUUAAAUAACGAGUCGAUAAGGACUACUUAUCUUCUGACCUCACAGUCCAGACCGGCUUGGGGUGAAGGUGUUCACGGAUAGUCCAUUCUAAUUUUGGGUUAAUUCCUACCUUGAUGACUUCCUAGGGUUGUCAGGUGGAACGAAGGAAAUUUGCAAGUGUACAUAACCGCAACAAGUAAUAAAGUGACAAGUAAAUGUCGAAUUAUCGUACGGAUAGGAAUUGUGAAAGAAAAAUAUUUAUGAAAUGUAAAUCAAACACUUUGGUGAUUAAAAACAUUUUGAGUUUGAGGAAAUGUGUUAAAAACUAAAACUUAAAUAACUAAUUAAAUAAGGAAAAAUUAAAAGUAGAAAUUUCAAUGCACAAUUUAUAAAAAAAAGUUUAAAUCAAGAUGACAUAAAUGUGUUGGAUCAAUCACAUUUUGUAACUUAAAAUUACUAAACUCAUGCUCAUGUUGUUACGAAUAAUUUCAUGGCAACUUGAUAACUUGCUAACUAGUGGACAUACAUACUUAUGAAAUUAACCAAUCUCCUGAACAUUUUCUAAUGCCAAUUAAAAAGAUUAAUCAAUCUUCAUAAGCACAUAUAAGUUUAAGCGAAGUAACAAAAUAUACCUAUAUUGAAACAGUUUAAUCACAAUAAACUUGCAAGUUAUGCAUGGCUAAUGUAUUGUUUAAUACCGCCGCUAAUUUAACCUUUAGCUACCUUAGAAGAUUAAACAAGCACCAAUUAAGUACUGUGUCUAUUAAUUACAAUUUCAUUUUGUUUAAAUAAUUAAUUCAAUUGUUACCUUAAAAUUAUAAUGUAAGCAUAACAUAAACAUGAUUUCUGGAUGGUUAUUCGUGUAACAACCUGAUUUUGGGCCUAGUCGGAACAGUGGUUUCAGGACCACAAAUUCGACAAGGAUAAAAUUUAUUUUUAUUAUAUUUUUAUGGUCUACGAUUUCACAAAAUGAUUUUGUGAAAAUUUCGACGUUUGGGCACUCAAUUUAGUCAAAAGGACUAAAUUGUAAAAAGUGCAAAAGUUGAGAUCUACAUGUUAGAGGUGUCCAAUUGUUAUGAAAUUUUAAAUUGGAGGUUCUUAUAUGGUAAUUAGACCAUUGGUUAAGUUGGUGGACAAAAAUGGACAUGGUUAGGCAUGUUUCCAAAGUUUUUCAUUAAGGGCAUUUUGGUCAUUUAGUUAUUAAAAUGAAUUAAAAACAAAAUUAAAAGCCAAUUUUUGUCCAUCUUCAACCCCUAGGUCAAAAAUUGCAUGGAGAAACCAUGGCUAGGGUUUUUCAAGCUUCCAAGCUCGAUUGCAACUCCGUUCUAGCCCCGUUUUUAAUAAUUUUUACGUUUUUGAAAUCCUCAUAAUAAGAUUUACCUAUUUUUACCAUUAUUUUGAACUAGGGUUUGUGUUUAAAAAUUUACCCAUGAAUGAUAUGUUUCGAAACCAUUUUUUAUUUUUUUGAAAAAAUAAAAAUUAGUUGUCGAUGAAAAUAGGAGUUGCCACCAAUUUUUUUUAAGGUGUGAUUGGAUCACCUAAAAAUGACUUUGGUCUACGAGUUUUAGAAAAAUGGGUUCGGGAGUCAGUUACAUACGAGGAAGGAUCAGCACCCCCGUAACGCCCAAAAAUUGGUACCAAGUUGAUUAAUAAAUAUCUUAAUGUCGAGAGUUGAAAAAUACGAUCCUUAAUUAAAUUAAAUUAUUUCUUAAGACUUCCUCAUUUUGAAAAGAGAAAAUAUCACAUCCAAUGCGUUAGGGCACAAUAUUUUAUUCUUUUCAAGACGAGUUGGUCCAAAAAAAAACUCGUGUAAUAAAACUUAAGAAAAUAUUUAAUUGUUUAAAUUUAUGAAGAAAUCGUGGUCCAAUACGUUAGGGUACGAUUUCCUAAAAUCCCAAACAUUCAAUAUUUCCUUUAUCAUUUUAAAAAAAAAUCUUUGUCUUGAGAAAUCAACGUGUCACAUCCAAUACGUUAGGACACAACAUAUUGAAUUCGCGAUGAUAAGUUUUAUUUUGUUUGAUCAAAGAGUAAUUCUCGAUUUUUGGAUUUAACAAAGAAAAUCGGAACCCAAUACGUUAGGGCUCAACUUACUUGAAAAUCCUAAAUACGAGUAUUGUCUCUAUUUUGAAAAGUUCUAUUUUUUAAGUUCGAGUAAAAGAUGACGUGAUUGAAUGUAUGCAUAAAUGUCACAAUAACAAAUACAUCAAUAGCAUAGAAACAAUAUAAGCAAAUAAAUAAACGAAAUAAAAUAAUCCAUUGCAUGCAAAAUAUUACAUGAAUAAAUGUAAAUACAAUUGAAUAACGAAUGAAGAAAGCAAGCAAAAUAAAUAAAGAUAAGAAGGUAUAUAAUAUACACAUGGAAAUUAUGAAGAUUAAAAUAUACAUAUGAUUUACAAAUAAAUUUUUGAGUUAUAGAAUUUAUAUAUAUAUACAAUUCAUAAUAUAUUUAUGAAAAUAAAGAAAAAUAUAUAAACAUAUAUAUAUAUAUAUAUUAUAAAAUAGGUGUUUAAAAAAUAUAUAUUUGAGCAUUUAAAAAACAACUAAAUAAUAAAUGAAUAAAUAAAUACGUAUAUAUAUAAAUAUAAAAAAAAAUAUUUGUUUUUUUUUAACUUAUAUGCGCGUGUGCACAUAUAUAAGUAAUAAAUAUAUACAUAUAUGGAUUAUAAAAAAUUACAUAUGGAUAAAACAAAAUAAAAAUAAUUAUAUUAUAUUACAAAAAUAAAUAUGCGCUUGUAAAAAAAUAUAUACAUAUAUUUUAAAAAAUAAUUAAAUAUGAAAAAGAAUAAUAAAAAACUAAUUAAAAAAAUAAGGAAAAUGAAAAAGGACUAAUUUGAACUGUAAAUAAAAAUCUGGGGCAAAUUUGUGAAUAUUUGAAGAUCGAAGGACCCUAUUGAACACGUUAAUAAUUCAAAGGGGCUGGAAGGGAAAUUUUCCCUUCUCCUCUAAAACGACGUCGUUCAAAUAGGGCUAAAUUGAAAUUGAAAGUAAAUUAAAGGGCAAAAUUAAAAAAAAUAAAAAAAAACUAAUCGUAAAAAUAUUAAAAGGCGGAGGGGCUAAAAGCGUAAUUUACCCCUCCGUUCAAAACACGUGGAUCCUAAGCUGGAUCGGGUCGGAUUCGGGUCAAACCCGGGCCUUAAACGGCACCGUUUUGAAGGGCUAUUUAAGCCCAAAAUCAGUUCAAAAAACCUCAUUUUCAUUCUUUUAAAAAAAACCAAAAAAACCUUCACAAAAAGCUCUCCCCUUUCUCAGCUCAUUCGGCCUAGAUCCGGCACCGGCCGAUCGUCGGCCACUGCGCUGGCCGCCGGCCUCCGAUGACGGCUCCACCGUCUGUGGUGGCCGGAGAAGGAGAAAAUCUCCUAUUCGGCUCCUCCGACCUCUCCAAGCCCAAAUCUGGGUUCGAAUCCCUAAAAAAAAACUACCCAAAUGUCUCCAAAUUUUCGAGAAACCUUUCGGUUCCCUGCUGUCUAUCCUCGAAGACGACUGCCUCGGCCGUUCACGGUGAUCUGAGCAAAGAAUGUUGUUUCUUUCCCUUUUUAUAUUUGUAUUUAUACGCAUGCAAAUAAGAAAAAACAGUAAACUAAAGUAAAGCAAAUAAAUAUAGACCUUUAAAUAGAUUUUCUGCUUUCUCUGUAUUGAACUUGUUAUUUGUAUUUGCUGUGAAAAUAAAAUUUUUUUAUUUUUCGGAUCCCGAUUACAGUGUAUUGGUGGCUUUUUUAUAGCCAAAUGAAACAAUUAAAAGAAGAAACAAAAUCUGUUUUCUUUUGAUUUGCGAAUCUUUUAUUCUUUCCAUAUACUGCUAUUUCUCUUCUUGAUGCACAGGUAUGAAGAUCACGUGGAGAUUCGGGGCAUGGUUGCGGCGCUGUUGAUCUUGAGAAACCCUAGGGUUUCUGAUUUUGUUUUGGGCCAUUUGUUUUGGGCCACCGUAUUUUAGUUUAUUUCAGUUUGGGCCAUACAGUCGCACUAGUAAUUUGGACUGCUUUAUUUUAUUCAUGUAAGCCGGGAAAAAUUGAGGUAUUACAAUACGGAUGUAUUUUGAUGUUUUAUGGAAGAAUAUGAAUGUUUGGAGUGUGAUGAACGCCUUUUACUAAGUGAUUUUCGAUGAAAAUGCCUAAAAGGAUUAAUUUAGAAAAGUUAUAAAAUAUGUCACAAGUGUGUGAAUAAGUGAGAAUUGUGGACUGCUAUAGUUAUGAAAAUGGUUUGGCUAGGUCUAAAAUCCAAGAAAAUUGAAUAAAAAAUAUUUUACGAGCCUAGGGGCAAAAUUGUAAUUUUGUGAAACUUUAGGGGCAAAAAUAUAAUUUUUCCAAAGUGUGAUUUUUGGACUAAAUUGAAUAAUGUGAGUUUUAAACAAGUUAAAUAUGUUAUUAUAAAUCAAGAAAGACGAGAAAUUGACUUGAUCAGUAAAAAAUGAAAAGUGAGAAAAAGUGAAAUUAUGAAAGAGUACAUUUAGCAACAAAACAGUUUAAACAGCAACAAUUGUGUGACUUUGAAAAAUCACCAAAAAUGGUGGAAAUUGAAUUAGAGGCUGAAUAAUAUAUGAAAUUAAAUCUGAAUGAGCCUAUUUUCACAUAAAAGAGACAAAGCAAGAAAAAGAGUUUUAUAUUAUGAGAUAUUUCAAUUUUAGUGAGACAGGGCUAGAAUGAUUUCGAAAUCCCCUAUUCCGACUUUGGAAAAUCAUUAAAAUUUUACAAAAAGAAUUAUGAGAUAAACUUUAUAUUUUUAUAAUCCUGAAUGAGUCUAUUUUCAAGAAAAAAAAAGAACAUUAUCUAAAUUCUGUACUAUGAAAUAAUUAAUUUUUAGUGAAGAAAGGUCAGAACUAUUGAGUAGUGAAAUAGGGGAAACUUUAAAGAAUAAAAAGUACUUAUUGGCUACAAAAAAAAAUCAAAAAAAUUAUGGUAAGAGUAUAUGUGAGUCUAGUUUUGGGAAAAAUUAACAGAUCUUAAUUUGGAGCUUGGUAGCUCGAGAUAUAAAUAAAUUAGUGACUUUGACUCUGACAAACGGUUUGAAUUUACAUACAGGAAAAUAAUGAAAGUAUGGAUAAUGUUGUUUAAGUGUGUUAUACACAUUAAGGAUGUGGAAUGGAGAGGAGGAGGAGGAAAAUUGGAAAAUAUAUGAAUGAUUUGUGUAUAAUUGGUCAUAUGCUCGAUUAUGAUGGAUAAACAAUGAAAUAGAAAUGAUGCUUAUAUUUGCGUAUGAUUGGUAAUGGUUUAAGCUCAUGUGGGAAAAUAAAGUUUCAUAGUAUGUGUGUAUGGUAUAUUUGGAAUAUGAUAUGGCUUAAGGUAAUGUCAUGAAUGGUUUAUGAAUUAACACAUGUUGGUAAGUUUGAUACAUGAACAAAUGUUGUGCUCAUCUAUGCUUAUAAUGCUUAUGCUAUAUGUUUAUUUGGUUAACAUAUUUGGUGUACAUGCUUAGGCUUUGGCCAAGUUGUGGUUGGAUUAUGCCACGUUAAACUUAUAAGUUAUGCAUUGAGAUGGUAAGUGCCUAAAUUGAAAUAUGCUUGUGAUCAUGACAGGGGUGGUAAGGUUUAAUAUAUGUAAUCUCUAGUGAAAUGGUUUAUCACGUGGUUAAUUCCAAAAAAAGGAAUUAUGUUUAAAUGCAUUAGCUUGCGGCUAUGGUUGAAUGGUAUGCUUAUGUCUUGUGUGAUAUGCAUAGGAAACGGGUGUGGAAGGAUAAUGAAAUAGUAAGUUCAUAUUUGAAGUGAAAAGUGAUGAAAAAGGGGAUGAUGAGUUUAAUUGAUGUUGUUAUUUAAGCUAAAGUGUUAUUUUCAUUGUAAAAUUGAGAAUUUCAUAAAUGUGUUAAUGAAUGGUAUAAUCGAUAAACGUUGAGUUAAAUGGUAAAUACGUAUUAGUAUUGAACUUACUAAUAUUGAAUUGUACAUGAAUUAAAUGGAAAUUGCUAGUGAUAUGAUUUGAAUUGUGAGCAUGAGAAAUUGUGAAUUGAAUAAAAAGAAAUGAAGCAUUGAAUUGCAUGAGUAUGUAUCGGGUCUCGUAGGCCCUUUUUAUUAUGAAUAUAAUAUUUUGAGGAUAAAUUGUGAAGAAUUAUAAAAGCAUGCUAAUAAUUUGAAAGUUUAAAUUUAGAUGAAAUUUUAUAACUCGGUUCAAUACGUUUACAAGUAUAUGUGUUCUGGUAAUGCCUCGUACCUUAUUUCAGUGUCGAAUACGAGUAAAGGGUGUUACAAUUCGGGGUACAACCAGAUUGCUAGAGCUCUUACUAAUCAAGAGAAGACCACAUUCACAUGUGUUUAUGGAACUUUUGUGUUAUGAAGAAUGCCAUUUGGAUUAUGCAAUGCCCCUGCAAUAUUUUAGCAUUGCAUGAUGACAAUAUUUUCAGACAUAGUCGAGAAAUUUUUAGAAGUUUUUAUGGAUGACUUCUUAGUGUUUGGCGAUACUUUUGAAGACUGUUUAGAAACUAUGGAGUUAGUUAUUUGUAGGUGUGAAGAAACCAACCUUGUUAUCAAUUGAGAGAAAUGUCACUUCAAGGUCUGUGAAUGUAUUGUUCUGGGACGUAAAAUUUCGCAGCAAGAGAUUGUCGUGGACAAAGCAAAAAUUAUGGUUUUUGAGAAAUUGCCACCACUUUGCACAGUUAAAGGUAUUCGCAGUUUUCUUGGCCAUUCAGGAUUCUAUCUAUGAUUUAUCAAAGAUUUUUUAAAAGAAAUCCAAAACCCUGUGUACAUUUUUAGAACAUAACAUAACUUUCAAUUUUGAUGAGUCAUGCUUACAAGCAUUUGAGGAAUCGAAAAAGUGGCUAGUCACAACACCAAUAGUCAUAGCACCAGAUUUGUUUUUACCUUUCCUUGUGAUGCUAAUGAUUUUGCUGUAGGGGUAGUACUUGGGAAAAGAAAGGACAAGGUAUUUCAUGCUAUCUACUAUGCAAGCCAUACAUUGACAAAUUCAUGGUUAAAUUAUACCACCAUUGAGAAAAAGCUAUUAGCUUUGGUAUUUGCCUUCGACAAAUUUAGAGUUUAUUUAGUGGGCACCAAAUUUACGGUUUAUGCGGACCAUUUUACUAUUAAGUACUUGGUGACCAAAAAAGCUGCCACGCCCAGAUUAAAUCGAUGGACACUACUACUGCAGGAAUUUGAUUUGGAAAUUAGAGAUAGGAAAUGUACAGAAAAUCAAGUGGCUGAUCACUUAUCUCGAAUUGAAGCAGGAAAUGAAGACGGUAAUAUUCAGCGCAUUCAGGAUGAUUUCCCAAAUGAGUAACUGUUAGUUGCCAUGGCAUUACUGUGGUAUGCCAGUAUCGUAAAUUUUUUGGUUAAUGGAUUGCUGCCACCUGAGUUCACCAAUCAAAGACGAAGUAAACUUAUCCAUGAUGCCAAAUAGUAUUAUUGGGAUGAGCCAUUUUUAUUCAAAUAUUGUGCAGACUAGAUAAUUCAGAGGUGUGUUCUGGAUGAUGAGAUUCAAAGUAUUUUAUAUAAUUGUCAUUCAACACCGUAUAGAGGACACUUUGAAGGCAUGAGAACUGCUGCAAAAAUUCUCCAAUCUGGUUUUUAUUGGCCAAACAUGUUUAAAGAUGCUCAUGAAUUUUUUCAAGCUUGUGAUCGCUGUCAAAGAAUUGGAAAUCUAUCGAGGAGGUAUGAAAUGCCUUUGCAAACUAUUUUAGAAGUGGAACUAUUUGAUGUAUGAGUAAUUGAAUUUAUGGGUCCAUUUCCACCUUCUUGGGGCAAUGUAUACAUACUUGUAGCUGUUAAUUAUGUUUCCAAGUGGGUUGAGGUUGUUGCUAUACCAGUGAACGAUGCCAAAUCGGUAUUGAAAUUUUUACAUAAGAAUAUUUUUACUAGGUUUGGUACCCCUCGUGCUUUGAUUAGUGAUGAAGGUUCACACUUUGAUUGCAAAUUAGUUGCUAAUGCUCUGACCAGGUGUGGAGUUAAACAUAAAAUUACCACGGCAUACCAUCACCAGAGAAAUGGACAAGUAAAAGUCUCUAAUAGAGAGAUUAAACAAAUUCUGGAAAAGGUAGUCACUCCCACCCGCAAAGAUUGGUCAGCCAGAUUAGAUGAAGCUUUGUAGGCAUAUCAAACUACAUUUAAGACACCAUUAGGGAUGUUUCCUUUCAAGCUUGUUUAUGGGAAACCUUAUCAUUUUCCCGUUGAAAUUAAACAUAAGACAUAUUGGGCAAUUAAGAAAUUGAAUAUGGAUUGGAGUGCUGCUGGUACUAACCGCCUAUUUGAGUUGAAUGAGAUGGAAGAAUUCAGAGCACAAGCUUAUGAGAAUGGUAAGCUGUACAAAGAAAAGACCAAACAAUGGCAUGACAAUAAGAUUUUGCCACGCCAAUUUUCACCUAGACAACAAGUCUUGUUAUUUAAUUCUAGGCUUAAAUUGUUUCCUAACAAAUUAAAAUCUCGUUGGUCUGGCCUAUUCGAGAUAGUGCAUGUCUAUCCUCAUGGAGUUGUAGAAUUCAAAAAUGGCAAGAUUGGUUCUACUUUCAAAGUCAAUAGGAAAUAAUUAAAGCAUUACUUUGGAGUUCCUAUAAUUCGUGAUAAAAAUUCCAUCACUUUUCGAACUGCUUAAUAUUUCUUCCCUGUAUUGUUUUAUUCAUUUACUUUUUUUUUAAUUUCAUUGUUUAUUUUAUUCAAUAAGUUUACUGAACUUUUAUUUUCUUUUAAUUUCACUAGGCACCAUCUUCUUCCACCUCUGUGCAUCUGAGGUCAUUCUUUAGCAAAACCCCGUAAGAAAAAUAUAACAAGAACAUAUCAAAAUGACCUUUUUGCCUGGAAAAAUGUUUCCUUUUCCAAGAUGCCCCUUUUAUGGGCUAUUCUGAAGCCAUCUCAUCUAUCGUGGAGAAACACAGGUGGAAAAUAUUCUGUGUCCACUCUGAUGACCUCCUCACUAAGAUAGUCAAAGAAUUUUAUGCACAUUUAACCUCUCUUGAAAAUGCUUUCACCUAUGUGCGUGGUGUCUCAGUGUUAUUUGAUGAAGAGUAAAUCAAUGUGAAAUAUGGGUUACUUGAAGGCCCUGAUGAACACUCUAAAAUUUUCAAGACAAUGACGACUGAAAGGACUCAACCAAGUUUUGACAGAUUUAUGUGUAGAAGGAACAACAUGGAAAGUUUCUCGAAAUGAUUGCUAUACCAUCGACUGUGUAACUUUGAAGCCUCAAUGUAGGGUUUUGUAUUAUUUCCUUAAAUCUCAUCUUAGUCCUUCUACGCACAACUCUACUAUUUCGAAGGAAUGCAUGUUGUUGCUACACUCGAUUAUGAAUAGAAGAAAGAUAAAUGUUGGAAAAAUUAUUUUUAAGUAAGUCCACCACUGCGCAGAAAAGAACGUCGGUACCUAAAUCUUUCUGUUGCUCAUUGUGACACUGUGUCAAAGAGUAAAGGUUCCUACUUAGGCAAAUGAAGACAAAAUCCCCAAUAAAGGAGCCAUAACCAAGCGAUUUGCCCUGAGAUAUUCAGGGGAGGAAAUGCCAAACCAUCUUGGCUCUACAUCCAUAGCUUCUCUACCUAUGACUACUAAUGCUGCCCCAUCAACAUUUCACAGCGACUUUGAGCAGAAAGUGAUUGAUGCUCUUGAGAUGUUGCAACAAGAAUUUCGGAUGAUGGAAAAGUAACAAUUGAGGGUAGUCACUGAUUGUGCCGAGCUUAAGAAGAAAUGACUCUAUUUUGGGGAUAUGUCAGACAAUGGAACAAAGCCAUUAAGAAAUAUCUUCAAAGUAAAUUUACCUGACCUAUGCCUACAUUCCCUAUUUUUCCUAAAGAAUUAUUGUUGGAGCUAGAAGAUGAUGAUAAAGAUAGAGAAGAAGCCACUGCAGAGAAGAAGAACAUAGAAAAAGAGGGAGAUGAGGAGAAAGCUAAAUUCGUGCAUAUUGAAUUUGAUAAGGAUGAAGUUGAUAUGACUCAAACUUCUAUGCUUGCUACAAUUGCCACUACACCGAAAUCCACUACACCUAUGACCGAGCAAGAGCAUGCGGUUCAUCAACUGAUUGAUGAUUUCACAAAAUCAGAUACUGGUGAUGAUGAAGAGGUGCCAAUUAACCAACUAAAAAGGAAGUGCUACAAGCAAGUUACUAGGAAAUCAGUUCGAGAUGAUGCUGGUGAAGUGGAAAGGAAGCAGCGCUAAAAUUACGCUGCCAGAAAACCAACCCAACCCAAUUAGAGUAACCAAAAUUCCUUCCAAGCUUUUGUUUUUAUUUUCAUUUGCAUCUUUUUCAUUUUAUAACAUAUGUUUCAUGCAUUCAUAUUUGGUUAUCAUUGUAUUUUUAUAUUUGUAAGCUAUUGUUUUUGCAUUUUGAAAUGUUUCAUUGUUUAUGCAUUGAGGACAAUUCAUCCCUUAGGUUUGGGGUUGUGUUGAGUUGUAAAUAUUGUAUGCAGUAGAUAUAUGUUUUAAUAUUCAUGCAUUUUGUCAUUCUUUUUUCCAUUACAUACAAAUGCCAAGUAACUGCUAGACUGUGACAAGUAUAUUGUUAUCUAUGAUAUUCGAUGAAGAUAAUAAUUCUUCGAUAAAAUUAGAAUAUUGUGAUGCGUGUAUAGGUAUGUUUAGUUUUGGAUAGUUGUGUAAAAAUUGAUUCCUAAAAGUAGAGUGCCCUAUUUAAAAUUUUUAUUAGUUUAUCUUAGGUUUCUUUUAAUACAUUUAGGAAUUCUUAAACUUAAAUUCAGUAAACCGACUGUAUGUAAUAAUGAAUAUCAUGACAAAAUGAUAAGAAUCACUCCAAUAUUUGAAAAUGUUGAGUAGAUUAGUAAUGCUUUGUUUGCUCCAUCGCAAUAUUGAUCAGAAAAACAAGUUCAAAUAAGAGUGAGUAAAAAAAAUAGUUGAGGGACACUCCACUGUAGUAAUAGGUUGAUUACCUAAGGAGGUAGUUGUUUGCCCCAUCCAUCUUUUUAGUUAAAAGCCUUAGCUUCAUGAGUGAGUUCUAUUCAAAUUCUGGCAUGAUGUAAUACCAGGUAAUCUCGUGUAUGCUCUGUUGAGAUUGUCAAGGAAAGAAACCAUGUGACAAGAUGAAUUCCCUAGAAAAAAAAAUAUUUAUAAUUAAAGUUUUGAAAUGACAGAAUAAAUGAGAAUAUGGAAACUGAGUUUAGAAGAAAGAUAAACUAAGUGCAUUAGGAGGUAUUUACUAUAGUCAGAAUUGCAUGAAUAUUUAGGAAUUUUUAUUUUUAGGUAACAGUUUCUAGACUUCGUUUGCUAAACAAACCUACAAAAAAUGAAUAUAUAUAUUUUUUUUGUUUUAAUAGAUGACUGUUGAGAAUGGAAGUAUAGAAUAUGCGACAAAUGGUUUAGCAGUAUAUAUGGUAACUGUGUGUUAUGGAAAAUUCAUGCAUUCAUGCAUACUCAUACAUAUUUUUCUUGAGGACAAGCAAUAAUUCAAGUUUGAAGGUAUGAUAACUCUUUUCAAGAGUUAUAUUUUAGGUCUUUAGAUUGAUUUAAUUGUUUGUAAUUAAGUAAAUAUGUUUGCAUUUUUAGGAUAUUUUUAGAACAUUGCAUAACAAAGCUUGGAUUGUGCUAUAAAUGUCAUUAUUUGUUACUGAGGAAGAAAGGUGUUGGUUAUUGUUGGCAGUAGGUGCAGGAUGAAGAAGAGAAGAGAGAAAAGAGAAAGAAAAUGAAUGAAGUGAAAUAUUUCCAUAGAAAAAUGUUGGUUAGAUUGCCAACAAGAAUGCCAUGGAAAUUCCAGGAAGAUGACACAACACUCAGUUUACGUCACUCUCAACCAGCUAUUCUUGUUCUAGAUAAACCACCCUGAAAAAGAGGAAGCAAAAGGUGUGUGCUGAGAAGAAAGAACCUACCCUAUAAAGGAGGAAAGAGAAAAGAAAAGAGGGGAGAGGAUUUUGGGGAGAGAGGAAUUGGAGAGCAGUUUUUCUCUGCAUCGAAUUCUCGUGGAAAAUUUUAGAGAAAAGCGAGGAGAGAGUAGUAGCUUACAGAGCAAAAAUCACAAAUGCAAGGAAGGGAAAGAGAAAUCUAUCCUGGGUUUUGCAUCAAAUUUCAGUAUUAAAGUGAAAGCUGGAGUAACGAGAGCUUCCUGCAGUUCUGCCUUUAUUUUUUGAUUUGAACUUUGUGAUUUGUAAACUUGAAUGAUGAUGCUGAAUGGUUUUAUUUUGGAUUUUAAUGUCCAAUCAAUGAGCUAAAUCUCAUUAGGUUGGAAUUAUUUAGGUGAAUUUUUACUAUUAUUAAUGCCCAUGGUCUGAUUUUGAGUAGAUUACUAUUUCAUUCGAUUUGUGAUUAUUGUAAAUGCAUGCAUGCAAGCUCUAGACAUUAAUGAUUGUACAAUAUGUUGUUAGAUCUAAUUUAAUUCUAAAUAGACUAAAUAAAUUAGAUUAUUAUCGGUUGAUACUAGCGAGUAUUUGAAAGAAUAUUCACAUCACUCUAGAUGUAGAAGUUGCGAUCUGUACAGGAAAAGCAUGAACAGUCUUGAUAUCAUUCUUGAGUUCUGUAGACAUACAAAAACUCAGAAUGAUAGUCUGGCUCUCAAAAAAUUAAAAUUAUAGUAGUGAAUCCCUUAGCAGUAGAAUGGUCAAGAUUUUUCCAUGGCAUUAUUAUGAUAUAAAAUAAAACUUGAGUAAUUCCAGCAUUUAUCAUUCAAUAGUAUAAAUCCUCCUCACUUAUUCUUUGGGAAUUUCCACAGCAUUUCAAUUGCCCUAGCAUUUUUCAUUCAUAAUUGUUUUUCAAUUGCCUUUAAAAGAAUGCCCUUCGGAUUAUGCAAUGCUCUAAAAAAUUUUAUGGGAUGCAUGAAUGCUAUCUUUGCUGAUAUGUUGGAAGAGGGUCUAGACGUUUUCAUGGACAGUUUUUUGGUUUAUCGAAACUCAUUUCAAGAAUGUUUGGGUAAUCUUGAGAAAGUCCUAAAAAGAUGCGAGGAAACUAACCUAGUGCUCAAUUGGGAAAAAUGUCAUUUUAUGGUAAAAGAAUGACUUGUCCAAGGUCACCAAAUAGCAGAAAAGGGCAUGAAAGUAGAUAAGGCCAAAAUUGAGGUGAUUAAACAUCUUCCACACCGAACUAACAUGACAUGUAUUCGAAAUUUUUUAGGCCAUACAGGAUUCUACCGAAUAUUUAUAAAAGAUUUUGCUCAUAUUUCUAAACCUCUAAAUCAACUUCUUCAGAAAGAAACACCUUUCAUCUUAAACCAAAGUUGCAUCGAAGCCUUCGAGGUAAUAAAAGCCAAACUCAUAUCUGAUCCUACAAUAAUCACUCUAAAUUGGACAUAACCCUUUAUUAUUAUAUGUGAUGCUAGUGAUUAUGCAGUGGGUGUAGUUUUGGGACAAAAGCGAAAUAAUUUAUUUAGGGCUAUUCAUUAUGCUAGCAAAAUGCUUAAUCUAGCACAGUGUAAUUGUACUACAAUUGAAAAAGAGAUGUUAGCGGUAGUGUUCGCUUGCAAAAAGUUUUGACAUUAUUUAAUGGCAAACCGAGUCUAUGUGUACACUGAUCACUCUGCCCUCAAAUAUGUUAUGCAGAAAAAAGAAACAAAUGGAAGAUUAAUGUUAUGUGUUUUGUUACUUUAGGAAUUUGACUUAUGGAUUAUGGACAGAAAGGGGACCAAAAAUCAAAUCGUAGAUCAUUUAUCCAGAAUUGAGGGCAAUCUAUAGGUAGAAAAUACGGAAGAGAUUAAGGAGACCUUUGUAGAUGAGCAACUAUUCAGGGUAGACGUCAAUCAACCAAGAUAUGGUAAGCAUAGAAUAUCAUGGUAUGUAGAUUUUGUUAAUUGCAUUGCAUGAGGGGUCUUCCCGACUCAAGCAUCUUGGUAGCAGAAAAAGCGGAUAGUUCACGAAUCUAAAAAUUAUGUGUGGGAGGAACCAUACCUGUUUUGAAAAUACAUAGGUCAAUUAGUUCGGCGGUGUGUAGCAGAGGAAGAAAUACAUGAUAUUGUACAAGGAUGCCACAUAUUUCCCUGUAGAGGACAUUUUGGUGGGAAAAUGACAGCCUAGAAAAUAUUACAAUCAGGAUUUUACUGGCCCAUUAUGAACAUAGAUGCUUAUGAAUUUGUACAAGGAUGUGAUAGAUGUCAGAGAAUUGGGAAGAUAUCUAAGACAAAUGAAAUGCCACAAACACGGAUAAUUGAAAUCGAAGUGUUUGAAGUUUAGGGGAUUGAUUUCAUGGGACCUUUUCCAAGUUCUUUUGGCAAUCAAUAGAUUCUCUUAGCUAUUGACUACUUUGUAAAAUGGGUAGAAGCUAUUGCACUGCCUACAAAUGAUACAAAGUCAGUUGUGAGAUUCUUAAGAAAAAACAUAUUCACCAGUUUUGGUACACCACGAGCGUUGUUCAGAGACAAAUGAUCUCACUUUUGUAGCAAGCAGUUUGAAGUAACUUUGGCUAAAUACAUCAUAAGGCACCGAAUGACCAUGAUAUAUCAUUUAGAGGCAAAUGGACACGCAGAGGUAUCCAUCCGAGAAAGAAAAAAAAUUCUGGAGAAAACAAUAAAUCCAAGUCGAAAGGAUUGGGCGACUAAGCUAGAAGAUGCCUUAUGGGCUUAUAGAAUAGCAUAGAAAACUCUGUUAGGAAUGUCUCCAUACAAGCUAGUCUAUGGUAAGAAUUGCCAUUUACCAAUUGAAUUAGAAAGGAAAACAUACUGGGCAAUUAAUGAGUUAAAUUUAGAUCUAAAAUUAGCUAAGAAAGAAAGAUGAUUUCAAUUCCAAGAAUUAGAAGAAUUCCAUUUCAUAGCCUACGAAAAUACUAAAAUGUAUAAAGGAGUAGAAUUUGACAUGAUGCGAAGAUUAGAAAGUGAGAACCUACUGUUUAGGUCUCGGUUGAAAUUAUUUCUUGGGAAAUUGAAAUCAAGAUGGACAGGUACAUAUAGAAUACAUUAUGUAACUCCUCAUGGAAUAAUAAAGCUGAUCGAAAAAGAGGGGUAGCAUUUUCUUGUAAAUAGUCAAAGAGUGAAACUAUUUUGGAGGGUUAGUUGACUCGAUUGUUGAUGAACAAACUUUACACUGUAACACAGUAUGGGUUGUAUCAGGAGUUAAAGGAAAGCUAAUAACUGAAGAAAGUGAUGAUGAAAAAGGUAAACAAGGCGUUCAUUCCCCAAGGUACCAAGGAAUCUGGUCUGCAUGUCGAAACACCAAAAUAGAAUGUCACGGCAACGAAUAAUGUUUAGAUUGGGGAACCUGCCCUCGGUGUUGUGACAUCCCUACAUAAUCUUACUUUCUAAAUCAACAUUAACCACUAACAUUUUUCGAGUUUUGUUACAUUGGAAUUCUUAUUUCCUAACUCUUUUCUUAGUAAUUUUAAAUUGUACCUCUUGAAUAUUUUAUUCGUUCUCUCUGAUCUAUAAAUAGGUUACCUUAAUCUUCAUUCUUACCAUCAACAAGGGAGAGAAGAAAUCAAAUUAUAGAGAUUACAAAAUAAUAUAGGGAGCUUCAGAAAAAUAAAGCAUCAAGCAACAAGUUCUAGUAUAAGUGUCUCAGGCCUAUAUAUUGAGUUUCAAGAAAACAAUAUAGAGCAAUAUUUGCAGAAACUACAACCAUGUACCUCUGUUUAAUAGCAAGGAUUCAAUCUUUUAAUGAGGGAGUGCAAAGGAAUCUGGGAGAAUGCCACCGAAAGAGAAUGGACAAAAUUUUGCUUGCCAGCCGAAGAACCUACAGUAAGUCCCUUGGUUCAAGAAUUUUAUUUAGCAUUGAAACAAAGAGCAGCAACUAGACCAUUCUAUAAGAUGCGUGUUUUUGUGAAAGCCAAAGGGAUUAAUGUUUCAGUAACUAAAAGAAGUAUUUGUCAAUUCUACGGUGCACCAUACUAUUAUUGGGACUACCUCUAUAGAACCAAUUUAAAAGAGUUUAGAAACAUUGACAUGGAAUAAAUACUAAGGUUUUUAACAGAAGGAAAGAAGAUGUGGACAUAUAAGACAGGUACAACAAUACAUGAAGCAUUCAAUCAAGAAUUAACGGCCCCAAAGGCUAAGAUGUGGAUGAAAUAUUUCUGUUUCUAGAAUAUGGCCAACCAUAGAGAUUUCUAAGGUUGGUCCAGCCCAUGCUAUCAUAACAUACAAGAUCCUUCAAAAGAAAAAAAUAUGCAUUGGUACAUGGAUAUACCAUAACAUGGUUGAGUUGCAAGAAACUUAAGAAGGGGGAUAUUUUUCCCCCAUUUGAUUACAGAAUUAUGUAGAGAAGCCGGCGUCCCGAUUGAACGAAUGGAUAAAAAAAUGAAUCCCCAGAAAAGCUACUCGGUGAUGAUAUGUUCAAGCAAUUUACCCAUUUGCAAACAAAACAUAAAGAGGAAAGGAGGAACUUAGGAUUUCUAGAAGAUGAGGAAUAAUCUUCAAGAGAUAAUUUAGUAGGGUUUUAAUUUUUAGGAACAAUAGACUUUAGGAACAUGGAUUUUUUUUAAAGAAACUGGCAUUCUUUUUUUUUAUAAGUAGUUUUUCUUUAAAAUAAAAUCUAUGAACGAACCCAACACGAAGGAGAGAAAAACAAAUUCAAACCUUAUACUAGCAAGGGAGGAAACACCCACCAAUAAAGGAUGGAGCAAUCACGAUCAAUCAGGGAACUUCUUUCCUCAUCUAUUUAUGGGCUACAUAUUGAGGACAAUGUGUUAACUAAAGUGUGGGGGGUAACAAAGAAAACUUGUUUAUUUAAUUUACUAUAUUUUUCUUUAAUUUUCUUUUAUGUGCUUGAGCUUGUAGAAAAAAAAGUGAUUUGCUUGGAGCAUGUAGAGAGGUUGCUUGUGUUUAUGAAUAAAUUUGGCAUGAUGAUGAUAGGUAUUAAGCCAUCGUUUGUACCAAGUGAUAUAAAAAAUACAAGGAAAUGAGCAUACUAGUAUGAAUGAUAGAUUGAAUUUGUGUUCGUUUGGUUGAUUAAAUUUGUGCAUGAUGAGAUAUUUAGGGAUGACCAGAGGCAUUGUUUGGAACACAUCCAGAGCCAAAAAGGUAUCCUAUUUAUACUUCAACUUUAGUACCAAUUUUGAGCCUUUUGACACUUCUUGAUGAACCGCAUUACAAACUCCGAGCCUGAAAAUGUUAAUUUGUAUAUGCCUUUUUUCUUUGGUCCUGUACCGCAUGAUUAUAGAUGUCUGGCCAUACAUAUUGAUGGUUAAAUAGAUACAUCACAGUGAAGUUUGUAAAAUUAGAGUGAAAUAGGAAAGAUUGGUUUGAUAUAGGAACUAUAAGUUAGCCUAAUGUGUGAAAAAAAGAGAGAGAAAUCGAAAAAGAGAAUUGGUAUGAGUAGAAAAAGUCUUAAACUAGCGAAAAAGCAUUCAUGAGUCAGAUGUAUUGAAAAAGAGAAAAGUCACAAAGUCACAAAAAAGAAAAAAGAAAAAAUCGUUUAUUAGUGUACAAAAACUCAUAAGGCUAGCCAUAGUUACUAUGUCAUUUUAUGACUUCCUAUAGUUGGAGAGAUAAGGAAGGUGAGAGAAGGAGAAAUAAGGCGGUGAGCGGGUAAGGGUCAUUAAAAGGGGAAGAAUAGGGAUCAAUACGAUAUGCCAAACUAUUUCCUUGUUUGUAACCUUUUGAUGCUUACUAUUUUUGAAUUCCAUACCUGUCCUAAGUGUUAGAACGUUACAAGCCGAAAAGCCCUAUGUGACCUAAGUAUCCUUAUACAUGAAUGGACAUCAUACUAAACAUUCACAUAUGACUAUUUGUAUUCUGCUCGGAUAGUCAAAGUACUUGUAUGAUUUGUUGAUGGAUUCCUAUAGGUGAGAACCUUAAUACUUGUAUAUUUUGAAACAUAAUCAACUUAGAUGUUUGUGAUCACAAGUGGUAAGUCAAUUACUCAUCAUGUUGAAAUUGUUAGUAAACAUGAAAGGCCUUAGUCGUUUGUAUUGUUUCAAAGCGGUUUGAGAGUCUAUUGGCUGACACUUUGCAUUGAUACAAAUUGAAUGCAGACUUGAUUUUUCAAAUGAAUCGUAUAUACUUGUCAUUUAUUUGAUUUAGAUUCAAAAUAUUGUUCUGGAUUAUAGGUUCACAGCCUGGGCGUACACUAAAAUGGACACUUCCAACAGAAGUUUCUUGUCUUUUUACCUUUAGUUGGUAAAUUGUUAGAAAACACUCAACAACGAUGGCUCAUUGUACAUGCAACAAUCUAUAAAGAACACCACCAAUGUCCACUAGGAUAGGGCCUAUAACUACCCUGGUGCGGUGUUGUAUUUAGUGAGUUUCGCACAAAAUAAAGGAUUGAAUGAUAAAUGGAUGCCGACCUCCAACAGGAUUACGGGAAGAAUAAAACCUAUAGAAUUAUCGCUUAGAUGACAUCCUUGUGGACAUCGAAAGUCAUAAGCAAAGUUUGGGUUGUGGAUACCUCAGGCUUCUAAGUAUCGAUGUAUUUCAUCUUAGGUAAUGCUACAGUGGUACAUCGGAGCCACUGUACGCGGUGAGGUAUCAUUUGGACCUUGUGGUCUAAAUUUUGUAAGACCUCGGGGAAUGUUGUCUUGUUUACCCUGGCCACGACCCAUCCCACUAGUGGUAGUUCUAACCAUUUGUGUAAAUGAAAUAAAAAAGGAAAUAAGAGCAAAAAUUACCUUUGAGCAAGAUAAGAACUGGAGACUAAGAAAGUAGAAUGUUUUGAAAAUGGUUUUAAGUUUUAGUUUUAUAUAGAAAAAUGUGUGCAAGAAGUUUAAUUUUUUAUGAUUUUUCAAGAUCCCUAAUAUAAAUUUGACAUAUAUCUACGAGUAAGAUAAGUAAAGUUUGAAAUCACACAAGCAAUCGCUAAGUUCUGGAUCUGCCAAUUGGAUUAAACUGUUGGCAUUCUUAUCAGCAUGGGAUCUCUAAGGUAUAUGCCUUUGAAAAGAAGUUGUUAAGAAUAAGUAGGAUAGUUCGCCAAGUAAUGGUAUUUGCCUAGCAUAAAAGCUUAGUUUGCAAUAUGAAAAUUUCGAGGAUGAAAUUUUGUUAAAGGGAAAGAGUUGUCAGAACCCAAGUCUGGCGAAUCUGAGAAUAUGGCUUAGAAUUGUGAAGUUCUUUGCUUGGCAUAAGUGUAAUCCACCAUGAUACAUUCUUCUAGCGAAUUGGAAUAUGGUGUAUAGUACCCACCAAAAGUAUGGUUCACCCAGUUACCUUAGCACUAUCCCGAAUGGGUUCUGUAAGACAAUUUGGUUAGAAGCUAACUAGAUUGACUUGUCAAAUAUUAAUUGUACAUAAUUCUCAUUUAUGUUUCUCUGGGAAUCUGUGGGCACUACAAAGGACAAAUUUUGGAUUCGGGUGACACUUGUUAUGUUCCACUAAAAGGAAUCUGGGUAUAUAUAUGUGUGAGAAAGGUUCGUGAGUGAGUUUCUUCUUCUUUUAAUAUAUAACUCUCUAAUAUUUUCUUAAAUUUAAAUGUUAUCUCUUCCUGUUAUUAAUAGAUUAGGAUGUUAGCAGAUUCUUAAUAGUGAAUCUAUAUUCUUUAAGAAAUUGUGGUUGCUGGUUUGAGAUGGAUGUUCGAAUCUAGAGCUUCGAGCUACAAUUUAAGUAAGUAACAGGUGAGUCUUUAUUUUGAAUCCUUCAUGUGAAUUGUUCUAGUAAAGAAAUAUACAUAAUAUUAACACCUCAGAUAUUCAGUAAGCAGGUAAAGCAUAGUAGUUGCAACAUGUACAAUGAUGGCAUGUUAGAAGUAUUUUUUGAAUAUGAAAUUGAGUGGUAAGCAUACAGGAAAAGUUUGAUAUGGGAAGAGUAUGAAUAAUUUAGGCGUAUAAACAAAUCCGGGUAAGUGAAUUCUAGGUAAUAUGUUACUUUGUGAUGCCUCUGGUAGGGAAUUAUAUUGCUAACUAGAUCAGCAGAUCAAGAUAUGAAAUAAGUGCAUGAUUGAUCUGUCGCAAUUCAUUGUUGCAGAUUAAACUAGUUUUCAAACUUAGAGAGUUUGAAUAUCAUCAAAUUUAUUAUGUUUUAUUUAGUUUUCCAAUCUUAGUUUUUAUUUAAUAAAAAGUGUAAUUGAGUUGUUUUAUGACCUUAGGGGCUGAAGGAGGCCUAAGGGAAGGCUAACAUACUUAAUAAGUGCGUAGGACACCAUUCAAAGGCAUAAGGAUUCAAAGUUGGUCACAGUUUUGCGACAUGAGGAGUUCAAGGUCGCAACAUAGUGAACAGAGUUCCAAAAUACCAAUACUGUCUUUGGUGUCCUGACAUAGAUAGAGGAUGUUGAGACACACCCUUGAAGCUGAAUCUGAAGCUAAGCAAACUGCCUAUAGUGUUGCGACAUAGGCAGUGGGUCUUGCGACAUCACCCCUGUACGUGAAAGCAUUAACGAGCUGAGGGCUUUUUGGUCUAUACAAUGAAAAUUAAUGUAAAAAGUUAGUUGACCUAGGGCUAAGGACAACGACCAGCCCUAAUAUUAUAAAUAGGCUCAUUAAACAAUUGAGAAGUGAUUUUUUUUUUGUAACUUAGAAUUUUCCUUUCAAUUUUUAUUUCUUUUUAGACUUAAGAUUUAUUUCAAUUUUUUUUCAUUCGUGACAUUUGAAGAAUCUGAUUUGUGGAUUCAACCAAACAUUUUGUUGAUUUCUAUGCUUUAAUCAAUUAAUAUAAUUAAGAUUUCUUCUUAAACUUUUAUUCUUAUUCGUUAUUCAUGUUUACUUUCUUUAUCAAGUUUAUAUUGUUUAUGAGAUCCAUGAGAAACUAAUCCUUUUAUGGGGGAUUAGUUAGUGGAGUUUUGAUUAAUUAAUAUUUAUGUAGGGUUUUCUUAGCGGAUCAGUUGUUUGGGAUAGGAAGAAUUUAAACCCUAGGUCUGACAACCCUAAGAAUUCAUCUAGGUGAGAUUAACCCAAAAUUGGUACUGCCUAUCCGUGAACCUUUUACCCCAAUUCGGUCUAGACUGUGAGGUCGAGAGAUAAGUAGUUCUUGCCAAAUCACUAGUUUAGUGGAAGAUCGAGAGAUCCUGCUUGGGUAACGACUAGUUGAUUGAGUAGAAACCCAAAAUAGGAAUUAGUUAUGACCACUGAAGCGAGCUAAUCACCCAUGCUUAGAUUUGGUUGAGUUACAUAUUAGUUUUUCGUGUUCACUCUUUUAUGUGUGUUUUGUUCUUUCCUUAUUAAAUAAAUAUUUUUUACUUUAGGCUUUAUCGUACUAUAAUUUAUUGACGGUACUAAUUAGUUCUAUUUACAUUUAAGUUAAUAUUAAUUUAGUAUUCGCCUUCUUUGGGUACGAUCCUUGGAGUACACAUCUAUUUUGUUGUAAAAACUAUAUUAUAGCCUGACCCGUAUGCUUGCAGAUAGUGCCUCAAUUCCAUAUCUUUGUUGCAGUAUUGACACUCUGGACAUUAGUACAUUCAAAGGUGGUCAAGUUGUUUGCGUCGUUGCCGAGGAGGCAACGUGACUAGAUUAAUUUUAAUUUUUUUGUUUUAAUAGAAUAAUGAGGAAAUUUUUAAAUUAUAUAAGAGUUUUAUUUUUAAAUUUAUUGAUGUUUUUAUUUUUCUUUGUGGUUUCAGUGUAUGAAUCGAACUAGGGGAACACUUAUAGAGCCAUUUAGUGAUCCAGAAAGAUUAAUCCGUAAAAUCCAUAGAUAGCAACAACAAUGACAACGACAAUAGAUGCAAAAUCAACCACUUGUUGUAGGUAAUCCACCACGAGAAAACCCGCCAUUCGAUGAAAUUAACGAAGCUAACCUACCAGAUCUACCAUUAUAACUACUGUUAAAUCUACAGAUGGAACGAGAAGAACGAACUUUAAGGGACUAUGUCUUACUUACUCUGGAUAUGGUACAAGGUAGCAUUACAAGGCCAGCCAUUACGAUGGAUAUGGUACAAGGUAGCAUUACAAGGCCAGCCAUUAUGAUGAAUAAUUUCGAGACCAAACCAGCCAUGAUCCAGAAUAAUUUGUAGUUCAGAGGAACUGUGACGGAGGACCCAAACCAAUACUUACAAUAUUUUCUCCAACUUUGUGACACAUUUAAAUUUAACGGGGUCACCGAUAAUACUAUUCAUCUUUGAUUGUUCCCUUUCUCUUUAAUUGAUAAAUCUUUGUUUGGUUAGACUCAUAGGAAUCAAGAUCUAUCACAACAUGGAAUGAACUUGUGUAGAAGUUUCUACACAAGUUCUUUCCUAUUAGCAAGACAGUCCAAUUGAGAAGGGAAAUAGCUACAUUUAAGCAACUAGAAGGAGAAAGCUUUCACGAAGCUUGGGAGCGUUUUUAGAUGUUGAUCCAAAGAUGUCCACAUCAUAGUCUACUUGAAUGGUUAAGAUUGCAGAUGUUUUAUAAUAGGUUAGGUGGAAUGCGCGAUUAAGGCUCGAUAGAGCCGUAAGAGGUGCCUUGAUGAAUAGAACAUAGAGGAUGCGUAUGAUCUAAUAGAAAACAUGGCAAUGAAUUCCUAUCAAUGGCCAACUGAAAGAUUUACUUAUGGAUAGAGACUAUCCAUUGUAAAAGCUGUCUAGGAAGAUGACAAGUACCAACAAAUUUUGGACAGACUUAACCAAAUAGAGUCCACAUCUAGUGCAUCUUCAAUGUUUGGUAGAGUUAAACCUCUUAGCCAUUAUUCUGAUAGCACAAACGAGAAUGUGAAUUAUAUUGGGAAUAGGGGUGAAACCCUUAUUCAAACACUUACAACCCUAGUUGGAGAGAUCACCCAAACCUAAGAUGAGGUGGAAACCAGGGAGGAGGUAAUAAUUCUAACCCUAUUAAAAAUACUAUUUACCAACCUCCGUAUUUGUAGAAGCCUCAAGAAAGGGCCAACCCCAAUGACCAUACUAUAUUUGGUCAAAGCUUGGAUCGAAUCCAAGGAGAGAUGUAGUCAAUGAGGACAAGUAAAAUAGCGCAGUCUGAGUGCACCCAAACAUCUAAAACAUUGAAUAAACUUAAAGAUCAAUUGAGCCAAUUAAUGAGGAUGAUAGGAGAUAAGAAAAGGAAAAUUGGCACUGGGAUCCCACGUAAUACUGAGAACAAUCCUAAGAGAGAAGGGAAAGAGCAUGUAAAGGCGAUCACACUCUGUUCAGGUAAAGUGCUGAGUAGUCUAGAGAACCCAACUCAAGAAGAGAACGAGGAGGAUACUGAUCACAUUAAAAAAGAAUAUGCUUAAAAUACAGAUGCUAAAAUUGGACCAGAAGAGGUAGUAGAGCCAGCAACUGAGCCAAAGGUUGAAUAGAGAACCCGCACUAGCCAAGGCACCAUUCUUUUUAUGGUUAGAAGAUAAGCAGAAAUGAGAUGAAACAGAAUCUACAAGUUUUCUAAACUUAUUCAAAUAUCUGAUUGAUAACUUGCUUUUAGUUAAAUUAAUUGAAAAAGUUCCUAAAUACACCAAAUAUUUAAAAGAAAUUAUGUCUAGGCCUAGGAAAAUUAAAAGAGGAGAUUAAGUUAACAUAGACACAUCAUGUAGUGUAAUAAUUUCUAAAUAGAUUCCCUAAAAACUAAAAGACCCAGGAGUUUUACAAUUCCUAUAUAGAUAGGGGAUAUCCACUUUAGUAAGGCUCUGUGUGAUUUAGGAGCAAGUAUCAAUUGAAUGCCCUUGUUGAUAUAUGAAAAACUCAGGUUAGAGGAACUUAAAAACGCACGCAUUACACUGCAUUUAGAUGAUAGGUCUGCGAUACGACCGAAAAGAGUACUUGAAGAUGUAUUGGUUAAGGUGCACAACUUUAUCAUCCUAGUUGAUUUCGUAAUUUUAGCUUUUGAGGAAGGCUGUGAAAUCCCUAUUCUGUUAGGGAUGCCAUUUUUAGCCACAUCAAGGUCCAUCAUUGACCUAGUGCAUCCAUAUACACACUGACAAAGUUGAUAAUGAAUUCGGCAGCAAAACAUGAAUUUUUUUUAGCUUAGAUAAAAUUUUUUAUAUUAUUGUAUUUUAAUAGACUCAUAAGUAGUUUAGGAUUUAAUUCUAUUUAAAUUGAUUAAAGAGUUAAUCUGAACACUUUGAAGUUUGAAAAGAGGGGAUGAAACAAAGUCGGUGUCGCAAGAUGGAUCCUCCAUGUCGCGACACCACUCACAGAUUGAAGAAAUUGAGUAACCAAUCUCGAUGACACGACAUAGCACCUUUGUGUCACAAAAAUGAAGAUAAUAUACCCUAGAGUUCAAAAUUUUCAAAGUGUGUCACGACAACGUUGCAAUUUUAUGUAGGACCGACCCGACCCAUUGUGCAACCCUGUAGAUUAGCCCUUGUUUUAACCCAAUUUUUAAAUUUAAAAUACAAAAUUUUUAACCUAAAAACACUUCUAAUUAAGUUUUAAACUCUCCUUAACCUUACACUCUCUCAAAUCCUCUCAAACCCUAAAAUCUCUAUUCUUUUUUCUUCUUAUUUUGGUACAAAAUUUCCCUAUUCUUGUAUGUUUAUUAAGUGCAAGUUAAAAUGCUUCGCAUUCACAAAGGAAUUUGGAACAACGCUCGGAAGGAUUAACGAGCUUUCAAGUCAAGGUGAAUAGUUCAAACUUAGAAUUUUACUAUUUUUUCAUUACUUGAUAUUUAGUUAGUUCUUCUAGUUAAAAUUUGUAUUAAAGGUGCUUCAUAGAAAAUCUAGAAGAACUAGCGAAUUCAAACCAUCGGUGGUUGCAAACCAGUCAAACGUUCCAAACCCAAACAACAAAAACAAUUGUUGUUAGAACUUUAAGGAAAGACAUUUAUACAAGAACGAGGGUUUGAGUCAUCGAUGAUUCUAUGUAGGGAAAUAUGGCCAUUAGUUUAAUACCAUAGGUGGGAAUGCUUUUGUGUAACCCCUAAAGACUUUGUUGUGGUACCAAUAGUACAAGAGUUCUAUGCAUUUUUCAGGGACCAAGAGUUUAGGAGGCUAAAUGGCCCCACUUGUGAAACUAUACGAGUAUAGGGGAAGGAAGUACUUGUCACCCCUAGAGUGACUUGUGAAUUUUAUAACGCUUCAUAUUAUGAAUAUGAUUUUGUGGAAGAAAACGAUUUAAAAUAUUUUAGAGAUAUUAAUAUGGAUAACAUUCUAAAAUAUUUAAUAGAGGGUAAGGUUGAAUGGAAAUAUCUCCCUAGUAAUGAUAUCCCCACGUACUUUAAUCAAGCAAUUAUGUUUCCUAUUGCAAAUAUAAGGACACAAUUUUUAUGCACUUGAAUUUCUCAUGCUUUGAAUGUCUCUAACGUCAAUACUUUUUGAGUGGUUUUGUUAUAUGCUAUUUUGUAGAGGAAACAGGUGUGCAUCGAGACAUGGAUCUAUCAUUAUAUGAAGUGGUGCAUUAGUUGCCAGAGAGUCAGAGUUUUCUUCCCCCACUUAGUGACGCCUUUGUGCAAAAAGGCCAGAGUUCCAAUGACAACGACUGAGCAAUUCAUGAAGCCAUCCAAGAGUCUCAUAAGGGAUUCAUUUUAUAAGAAAUAUACAGAGCUUCAACGAAAGCAAAUAAGAGAUUGAAACAAAUGGCAAAACGAAAAGAUGGAAGUUUCAGUUUCACUUACAUGAAAAGCAAAAUCGUAAUCUUGAAAAGAAAUAGGCGAGAAUAGCAUUCCAGAUAUGGAAUAGAUGAUAAGAUGGAUGCAAGAGAUGAUCCCAAUUCUUCAAGAAUUUGUGGGGGCAGAACAACAUGAGAGUACCAAACUAUCCACCAAAUAUAUUUGGUCCAAUGCAUUCUCAUCAUGAAGCAGAAGAGCAAGACAGCGAGGAAAGGGAAGAUAGUGAUGAUGAGGAAGCUGAAGAGGAGGGACAACUUCUUUUUGAGCUGUCAACAAACAAGGAAGGGAGCACCCAUCAUAAGUCUAAGACAAUGUCACGAUCAAUCGGACAACUUCUUUCUUUAUCUACAUGGUUGCACAUUAGGGACAAUAUGUUAUCUAAAGUGUGGGGGUAACAUAGGAAAAUUUGCUUAUUUUGUUUUAUGCUUUUUAUUUUAUUUUUCUUGUCAAAGUAUGCUUGAUCUUGUAGAAAUAUAAGUCAUUGGUUAUGAGCAUAUAUAUAGGUUAAUUGUAUUUACUAUAACUUUGACAUGAUAGUGAAUAAUUUUAAUUUUUUGAUUAUUAGACUACUAAGUUCUAUAUAUUAUACUGUAAAUAAGCAUUAAGUUAUUAAAUAUACCAAAUGGCAAAAAAUACAAGGAAACGAGCAUGCUAGUAUGUAUGAAAAAUAAUGAAAUUUGUGAAUAUUGAGAUACCCAAAGAUGACCUAAGGCAUUGUUUGGUGUAACCCAAAGCCCAAAAGUUAACCGUAUUCAUCGAACCUUAUACCUAUUUUGAGCUAGAAAACACUUAUUAAUAAACCUUCAUACAAAACUUGAGCCAAAAUAUCAAUUUGUACUUAUCAUUUUCUUUGGUCCCAGAAUUGCAGAAUUUAGAUGUUUGGCCAUACGUAUUGAGGUAUAGGUUGAUUCAUCAUUGUGAAAUUUGUAAAAAUCAGAGUGAAAUAGGAAGAAAUAAUGUGAUAUAGUGAUUAUAAGUUAGCCAACAUGUGCGAAACAAAAGAAAAGAUAGAAAAAGAUUAAACGAGUAGAAAAAGUACUUGAGCAAUGAAAAAAAAGCAUUGUGAGUGCGAUGUAUUGAAAAAAAUCAAAUGUGACAAGGUUACAGAAUUAGAAAACUCAAUCAUUAAUGCAUAAAAAAUCGUGAGCUAGCCAUAAUUACUUUAUUAUGUUGUGACUUCCUAUGUGGAGAAAUAAGAAAGGUGAAAGAAUGAGAAAUAAGAUGGUGAGCGGGCAAGGGUUGUUUAGGGGGAGAAUAGGGAACAAUACGAUGUGCUAAACUAACUUUAUGCUUGAAGUUGUUUUGAUGCUUCCUGUUUUUGAAUUCCAUACCUAUCCUAAGCCUCAUAACAUUACAAGUCGAAAAGCCCUAUAUGGUCUAGGUAAAUCUAUUCAUGAAUUGACAUUAUAUUGAGUAAUUACAAUAAUAACAUUUUGUAUUCUGCUAAGAUAAGAUAAGCAAAUUACCUUAUUGUUUAUAUACUUUGUAAUAUAGUGAACUUAGGUGUUUGAUAUUAAGAGUGGUAAGUCGUUAAUAUAUCAUGCCAAAAUUAUGUGUAGAUAUAAUUUUUCCUAGCUAUGUGUUCCAAAACUUGUUCUUGUAUCCUAGUUUCUCAAGAGUCGUCUUUGAUAUUUUGUUUCUUUGCUUGAGGACAAGUAAUGACUUAAGUGUAGGGGAGUUUAAUCUGUCGCAAUUCGUUGUAGCAAAUUAAAGUAGUUUUCAUACUUAGAAAGCCUGAAUAUAAACAAAUUUAUUAUGUUUUAUUUAGUUUUCCAAUCAUAGUUUUCAUUUAAUAAAAAGUGUAAUUAAGUUGUUUUAUAACCUUAAGGGUCGAAUGAGGGGUAAGGGAAGACUAACGUACUUAGUAAGUGUGUAAGGCACCAUUCAAAGGCUUGAGGAUUCAAGGUUGGUUGCAAUGUUUCAACAUGUGGAGUUCAAGGUCGCAACACAGUGACCAGAGUGCUAAAAUAAUAAGACUGCCUUUAGUGUCGUAAAAUUGAUAGAGGAUGUCACGACACACCUUGAAGCUGAGACUAAAGCUAAGCAAACUACCUUCAGUGUCGUGACAUCGACCUUGUACGUGAAAGCAUCAACGAUUUGGGUGCAUUUUGGUCUGUAAUGAAAAUUAAUGUAAAAACGUCAACCAACCUAGGGCUAAUGAUGAUGGCGAACCCUAACAUUAUCAAUAAGCUUAUUAAACAUUUGAGAAUGUACCUCUUCUGUAACUUAGAAAUUUCAUUUCAAUUUUUUAUUUCUUUUUAAACUUAGGAUUUAUUUUAAUUUGUUUUCAUUCGUGACAUUCAGAGAAUCUGAUUGCAGAUUCAACCAAGCACUUUGUGGAUUUCUGCGCUUCAAUAAAUCAAUACAAUCAAGAUUUCUUCUUAACCUAUUAUUCUUGAUUCGUUAUUCAUGUUUACUUUCUUUAUCAAUUUUAUAUUGUUUAUGAGAUCCAUGACUAACUAGUCCUUUUAUGGGGGAUUAGUGAGUGGAUGUGUAAUUAAUGUCUAAGUAGAGUUUUCUUAGCAAAUCAAUUGUUUGGGAUUGGAAGAACCUAAACCAUAGGCCUAACAACCCUAGGAAGUUAUCUAGGUGGGGAUUAACCCAAAAUUGGUAUUGCCUAUCCGUGAACCCCUUACCCCAAUCCGAUAUGGACUGUGAGGUUGGGAGAUAAGUAGUUCUAGCAGACUCGUUAGUUUAAUGGAAGAUCUAGAGAUCUUGUUUGGAUAAUGACUAGUUGAUUGAGUAGAAACCUAAAAUAGGAAUUAAUUAUGACCACCAAAGCGAGAUAAUCACCCAUUCUUAGAUUUGGUUGAGCUACAUAUAAGUUUUUCGUUUUCACUCUUUUAUGCAUGUUUUAUUCUUUCCUUAUUAAAUAAAUAUUUUUCACUUUAGGCUUCAUCAUACUAUAAUUUAUUUAUGAUACUAAUUAAAUCUAUUUACAUUUAAGUUAAUAUUAAUUUAGUACUCGCGUCCAUUGGGUUCGAUCCUUGGAGUACUUACCUACUUUAUUGUAAAAACUAGAUUACAACCUGACCCGUAUACUUGUGGACACUUCCUCAAUUUCAUAUCUCUAGUUGUAGUAUUGACACUCUAGACGUUAGUACGUCCGAAGGCGGUCAAUGACUAUGUGGCUGAAACUCAUGGCAUUGUGUGAUAUGAAGACACUCAUGACGAUACCCAUGGUUGGAUUGAUAGAUCACAACAUGAGAAUGUGUAAGUCCAUGUGGCUGAGACCCAUGGCAUGAUAUGAUAGUAUGAAUAUUCAUGGUAAUGCCUUCGGUAAUAUGUAAACCGAACUGGCAAAUCACGACAUGAAAAUAUGUAUAAGUCUACGAGGAAGAAAUCAAUGUCACCUUCUAUCAAAGUUUUUCGGGACAAUAAACACGUGAAUAUGUAUGUUGCUUGUAUGGCGUGAUCUGCUAAUCAUUUAUGGCGUAUUUUGUAUAGCCUAUGUGGCGUAUUCUGUAUGGCCUUUGUGGCAAAUUCUGUAUUGUUUCAUUGGUAUAUUUGUUGAUGUUCAUGUGGCAUAAUAUGAUUAUUUGUCCUUAUGGUAAGUUCUAGAUAAGUUCUAAGAGUUCUUUGAUAGAUAAGUCUAUGAUAAGGAUAUGAUGUGUUUGAAGUCAAUUUGAUUUGAUUAGUUUUGUGAUAUAGUCAAAUGCGUUUUAAGGAAAGUUCCUGAAAGAAAAUAUGUAUUUGUAUUGUUGAUGGGGGGUAUCCGCUAUAGUAACCUACCAUUUUAGAAUAUGGGUUUAUUCAUAAAUAUAGAAGGUAUAAGUAUUCAUCGAUUUGAGUUUGCUUGUGUUAAAUAGAGAUUAGAUCUAUGUCAUCUAGUAUUCACUAUAUCUGAAUAGCAUUAUGUCCCGUUCUGAAAUCUUAUGGAAUCUGAGUUGUUGUCAUCUUGGGUUUUCUUAUGUUCUAUAAAAAAGUGUUUGGAAUCCUUUUUAAGGAUCCGGAUAGUUUAGAAUCAGUUUGAGAAUAUGUUUGGCUUUGAACUUGGAUAUGACAUGUUUGGUAUAUUGAUAGUAUCAAACUCAGUUUGGGAAUCCGCCAAAAUGUGAAUUCAGAUAGUAAGUAUCCGCUAGUGGGUAGCAUCUGUGAACAUCCAUUGUGAAGAAUGUCUAUAUGAAGAGUAAAUCCGUAUGAAGAGGGCUCGAUAGAAAUAUUCCUUUGAGAAGUAUCUUUGUUGUUCUAUGAGAAAGAAUAUAACAAUAUAUUAUCUUGUAAGAUCUGAAAUUAGCCAAGUAGUGAAGUGGAAACUAAUACGUUAAGCAUGACUACUGGCGUAUAUGCGCAUGUCCAAAUAUUUUGAAAGUGUCAGCCCAAAAAAAAUGAUAGGUUAAAUACAGAAAUUGGCAUAUAGGCACGCAAUCAAUAUUAUAACAGUAUCCACAAAUGUAUUAUGUACUUAUGCUUACUAAGUUCAUGUAACUUACUAGUGUUAUGUUUAUGUUUUAGGUAUAUUGUAAGAGUGAGUAUGCCGGGAGGGACAAUGCUAGUAAUAUGCCAAGGAAGCGGUGAGUCGAGUUAUUAUGCAUACCAUAAGAAAUUUUUCGCAAAAUCCCAAAGUUUUUUUUGAACUCAAUAUUACCCCUUUAUAAAUAUCUAAUCUUCCUUGCAAUUUUAAACCGAGACCAAUCCAACACAACCAAUCCAUUUCAACAUAUUUUCAAGAUAGAUUUAAUGUAUUCAUAAGAUAACCUCAUCACAUACCAAAACCAAAAUUUGUUAGCCAUACCAAUGGCUAACCAUACAUUCAUUUCACAUUAACAUUUACGUUACUAGCUUAUACAUACCAUUGAUUUCCAAAAUAAAGUUUCUUUAUAUACCGAGAUCUUGAGGUUGAUAGUGUGAUAUGUCUCUGACCGAGUCCGAUCUCUGAGCUCUUAACACUACAAAACAGGGGAAAAAGAAACAGGGUAAGCACUUUGUGCUUAGUAAGUUCAUGUAACAAGAAUUAUACUUACCUAAUAUUUUCAAUACAAUGAAAUAAACAUUCAUACACCCAUUCAAUACAUUAUUCCCCUAUCAUACACAAACUCAACAUUCAAAUUAAUCCAAUAAUUUCCAUGUAUCAAUAAUAUGUACCAUGAUUGAUGAGCUAAUCAAUACCAUUAUUUCUAUUUCCUUGUUAUUUUUCCAUAUUUAUCCUGUUAAAUUUCUUGAAAUUUCGAUGGAUUUUCAGGGGUACACUUUAGUGUACAAAUCCGGGUCCGUCAAUUCAUAUUCAUGUGCGCACAUUUCCAUUUCAGAGAGCACACUCCCGCGAACCUCAUCCUUACAGUGGGAUUAAUAAACUCAUAGAGUAUUGUCGAGAUUACCAGUCCAGGCUAAAUCCCCUGUAAUAUAAACUCAUAGAGUAUUAUCGGGAUUACCAGUCCAGGCUAAAUCCCCUACAAUGACAAUUACUCUAAUGAGCCUGAAUCUGAAUUACCAGUCCAGGCUAAAUUCAGACCCUAAUUCGGAUUACCCGUCUAGGCUAAAUCCAUUUUCCACAUAUUCUUUGGGAGGGCUAUAUCAGAAUAGGAUCAUCCGUCUGGGCUAGAUCCUUUUUACCGUCAAUUCCUUUUCAGAGAUCCAUCGAAUUUUCCUUCCAUUCAACCGGGAUUUCUUCCCUUUUUUAUUAAAUAUAUCAAUGUUUCAUUAAUUUUCAUACAAUGAACAUUCAAAUCAUAUUCACAUCAAUAACAAACAUUUCAAGAAUUUAAGAAUAUAAUUCAAGUUAUACGAACUUACCUCGAUACUUGUUCGUAAAAAAAAUCUACUAAUCCCAAACUUUUUCUUUUCCUCGAUCUACUAAUCCCAAACUUGUUCAUAUGUAACAUUCUCUAUAAUUCCAUUAUUAUUUAUAGUUCAUUCAAAGUUGUCUCAUUGAGUCAUAGUCACUAAAUUAUUUAUAUCUUGAGUUACGGAACUCCAAAUUAAGAUCCACUAAUUUUCCCGAAACUAGGCUCACAUAUCUUCUUACCAUAAAAUUUUCAGAAUUUUUGGUUUAGCCAAUAAGUACAGUUUAUUCUUUAAAGUUUCCCCUGUUUCGCUGUUCGACAGUUCCGACCCCUCUUCACUAAAAAUUAAUUAUCUCAUUGUACAGAAUUCGGAUGAUGUAUUAUUUUAUUUUUAAAUACUUUUCUUUGUUCCUUUAAUGUUGAUUCUUUAAAUAAAAUGAUAAAAAAUAUAUUUUAAGUCAAGUGUACAUGUUGACUGUUUUGAAAUUUUGUUAAGUGAAAUGUAAAGUAAUACCCGAGAUUUGGAUUCGGUAAUUCGGGUUGGGUUAAGGGUGUUACACACAUAGAGACAGAAGUUCUAUUUUGUUAAUUUAUGAAUUGUUUUAGUGCAUAAUUUGUGCAAGUAAAUUAGUAAAUUGGAUUAUUCAUUGGUUUACAACUAAGGUUUCAAAGGGAAAUAGUUUCUGAGAGUGUGAUCUAGUUUGAAGUAUAGAAGUGAGGUUGCAAGUUAGUUUAUGACUUGAACUUAAACUACGAUUUGUACUUUAUUAAUUUAUAUUGGGUCACUCUCUAGGUAAGAUCUCAUAGAUGUAAGAAGUUUUCAAAUUACAUAAACAAUUGUGUUGUCCAUCUCUAUUUUAUAACUAUACUAACUUUGUCCAAUUGUAACCAAACGAAUAUUGAAAAACAAAAUCAGUGAUUCACACAUAAUAUACUAUUUUAAAAAAAAUGAAUUUUCAAGUAAGAAAAACAAAAUUUUCAAGUCAAUCCAUAAACAUAUCUACCAACAUCAUGUUUAAUUUUUUUUAAACAGUCUUCCAUGAAAUUUUUUAUUAAAUUUGCUUGCACGAACAUCAAACGUAUUAUAUUAUACAUAUUUAUCCUAUGAAGAAUAAAUUACACUUCUAUAAUAUACAAAAGGUACCUAAAUACUUUUAAUAGUUUGAGCCUUGUGGUUUCCAAAAAGUUUAAGGUAUCAACGUAUUAACCUCGAAACAAAGAGGAAGACUUUGAAAACAAAAAGAGGGAGACAGAGAGAGCAGCCCAAAGAAUGGACUUCAGCUUUGCAAGGUGGGCCUUUGGGCUUCAUUAUGUAUUUGAGCCUCUGGACAAGGUUUUCAUCAAACAAUAUAAGCUGGUGAAGUGCAGAUAGAUAUUAUGUGAAAUGAACGGCUUAAUGUUAACAAAUUGACCUUAAGAAUAUGCCAUUGGUGGCGAUAAGAAAAUUGUGGUGGGGUAUCCAACAUGAGGUCCAUAUCUCACACAUCAUAUCAUCUGGAUAAGAGUAGAAUCCAGAGACCUUCAUUUUAUUGGACAUUAUUUGAUUUGCUUCACAUUAAAUCUUAUAUCCCAAAACCCAAAUCCUCAGCCAGAGGCAAUUGAAACUCCAUUUCUCUGCCACAAAAAGCUCCCCCGCCCCAACUCCCCUGGGAUCAACAGCACAAUUCUAAACCCAAAAACAUAAAAAAAUGGCAGCAAGUGUAGCAACAAUGGCGAUGCUCAAUGCAAAAUGCCUAAGCAUCAGCUCAACUAAGAUGAGCAGCCCAACAAAGCCAACCCCAAAGCCCUUCUCCCUUCUCUCCAUGCAGAACCUCCCCAAAGGCCUCACCAUCUCAAAACCAGCCAACAACUCAAACCUACCGUCUUCACUCGCUGGCAGCGCCAUUGCUGGAGCUAUCUUCUCAACCUUGAGCUCAUGUGACCCCGCCUUAGCUGCACAACAGAUUGCUGAAAUAGCUGAAGGAGACAACCGUGGGCUAGCUCUAUUGCUUCCCAUAAUCCCAGCGAUCGCUUGGGUCCUCUUCAACAUCCUCCAGCCAGCACUUAACCAGCUGAACCGAAUGAGGAGCUCCAAAGGGGUUAUCAUAGGGCUAGGGCUCGGAGGAUUGGCUGCAUCAGGGUUCAUGUCAAC